UUUAAAAUUUAAAAGAUUAGAAAAUAAAGUGAAAUUUUGAAAAAUUAGAGAAGCACUAUUAAUAUAGCUUAUUUUAUUAUUAAAAGGUAGGUUCAUCGAAUCUGAUCAUUAUGUAGCAACAAAAUUUGAUUAGAUUCUGCAAAUCUAGUUUUUUCAGAUAAAAAUAAGUUCUUUAAUUAAAGAUAGUGUUAAAACUAUUUUUGUUAGUGCAAGAAUACAUAUAGAUAAAAAAGUAUAAGACUUUUCUGAAUUAUACACUAUUUUAAAUUUUUAAUUUUACUAUUCAACUUUCCGAUUUGUUUUAUUUGAGUCAAAUAACUAACUAUAUUUUGACUUCAAAAAUUAAACUAAUUACUUACUUUAAUAAUUGAGUAUAUUAAUUAAAUAUGUAAAGAUAAACGACGUAUUCAAAUUUUAAAAUUAAAAUAUUAUUGACUAACUAAAAAGUAAAUAAAUUAAAAAAAUUAAAUAAUAAAAUUAAAAUUUUAAAAUUUAGAUAGUGAACUGUCAAUGACGUGUAAAGCUACUAUACUACCAGAUAUAUAAAGAAUUUGAUGCUUCCGGCGUUUUGAUCCUUGGAUAAAAAAUUAUACGGUUGGAAUAAUAGUAAUAUCUCCUAGAGUUGAAUAAUACUUCUAGGAUUGAGUGGUCAAUACAAGAUAAUAGUAUUAAUUCAAAUAUUAGAAUUUAUCAAAAGAGUUGAUCUAAAAAUUAAAAAAUUAAAAAUAUCAGACCCUCUAUGCUUUUUAUAGUAUAGUAACUCUACUCGUCCAUAGCUUAGAUAUGUUUUAUGGUGCAUAUGAGAAUUGAGAAGGCCUUAAUUAAAGAAGGGAAUAACUUCAAAUACCCUUACUGUGAUUUCACUCUUUCUCAUUUUAGUACAUUGUGAUUUAAAGUGUAUUAAGUUAGUACUCUGUGGUUUCGUACUUUCUCACUUUAGUAUCAUAUGGUUUAAAGUGUAUCAAGUUAGUACCCUGUGAUUUCGCACUUUCUCACUUUAGUACUCUGUAGUUUAAUAUUUCAUUAAGAGAAAAAUAAAACCACAGAGUACUAACUUGAAACAAAAAUAAAACUACAGGAUACUAAAUUGAUACACUUCAAGCCAAAUGGUACUAAAGUAAAAAAGUACGAAACCAUAUGGUACUAAUUUGAUACACUUUAAAUCACAUGGCAUUAAAAUGAAAAAAGUGUGAAAUCACAUGGAUUUUUUCGAAGUUUUUCCUUAAAAGAAGUAAUAAGAGUACUUGCUAAAGAGGACAACCAACCCUUUGCCGCUUUGCGUCGUCACCGUGAAUUAACGUCUCAAACUCGGUCUCAUCUGGUGGAGGACGCUACCGCUCGAGUGCUCCUUAAACCGACCCCGUUUCCCUUCCCCUGCUACGCCCUAAUCCCUCUCUCUCUCUCUCUCUCUCUCUCGCUUCCCCUCACCCUCCCUCUUAAUUUGUGUUUGUGGGUGUAGUGGGGAAUGGGGAGCGAAGGAACAUACGAAGGAUUCGUCGUCUCCAGGAUUCGAAUCAAUCUCCAAAAGGUAAUCUUGAAGAGUUCUUCCCAUCACUACUUUUAGGAUUAUUCCUAGAAUUUUUGUUAAAAAGAAUAAAAUUUUCCACUUCUUUUUGCGUAUAUUUUGAUGCGAUAAGCAUGAGAGGUGAUUAGGAUCUGUUUAUUAACCUAUUCUGCCGAGUUUUAUGGUGGGUGGAUUGCACGGUUUUCAACAAUUUAAAUUGUGAAGAUCUCGCCUGUUUGAUCCGUUUCUGGUUGUAGGGGCUGUUUAGGGGUUCAUUGGAAGGGACAAUUUCUAAGCUUUGUUGCCCUAAAAGAUUCUAUUUUGGUGCUAUUUUUGGGGAAGGGACAAUUUCUAAGCUUUGUCGCCCUAAAAGAUUCUAGUUUGGAGCUAUUUUUGGGGGAGUUUUGAGGGCAAUUGGCAAUUGGGUUUCUCUUAGUUUGUGAAAAAAUUGAUGGUUAUUUGUCUAAGUUAUCUAACAAUUUGUUGUUUCUAGUUACUUUGUGAUUGGGGAAUUUUUUUCAUUUUUUAUUUUUAAAAAUCCUAUUUUUGGUUCUAAUUUUGGGGGUGUCUUGCUUGGUUGGGUUUGGUUGGGGAAGCGGCUUCCUGAGUUUCUUCUGGUUUAUCCAAAUUUGAUGGUUGGAUUUAUGGAAUGGACCUGUGAUUGCUUCUUGUGGGACGCGUUUAUCGAAUGCGGUGGGAUUCGGAAUCCGCCGAUUAGAUAGCGUUAGAGGAAGAGGAGGAGGAGGAGGAGGAAGAAGAGGAGGAGGAAGAGGAAUUGGAGGCAGUUGAAAGGAGCAAAGUGAGUAAAACAGCUAUGGGAGAAGACCUCCUCACCACUCUCUCCAUGGAGAACCACCACCCCUCCACCCUCCUCUCCUUCUCUGCGGACGCCACCCCCCACCAGUCGUGGAGCUCUGAUUCUUGCGACAUGUUCGACGCCUGCCUUGCUCCGCAGAUCUACGACCCCGAGCCGGCCGCCCACCUCCCGAAAUCUGGCCAUCAGCACCACCGCAAGUGCGCAAAGAGAGGGGAUAGCAUUUGGGGCGCGUGGUUCUUCUUCACCUUCUACUUCAAGCCCGCUCUGUCCGAUAAAUCUAAAAGCAAGGCGGCCCGUGAUGCGCAUGGAGUAUCAGGCUUCGACAAAUCUGACCUCCGGCUCGACGUUUUUCUUGUCCAGCACGACAUGGAGAAUAUGUACAUGUGGGCUUUUAAGGAGAGGCCGGAGAAUGCCCUAGGCAAGAUGCAGCUCAGAAGCUAUAUGAAUGGGCACUCUCGGCUCGGAGAACCACAGUUCCCAUUUAGCGUUGAUAAGGGUUUCGUCAGAUCCCACAAAAUGCAAAGAAAGCAGUAUCGAGGACUGUCGAACCCGCAAUGUGUUCAUGGUCUUGAGGUGGUGAGAUCCCCCAAUUUAAAUUUGGUUACAGAAUUAGACCGUAAGAAAUGGAUGGAGCUUACUGGAAGGGAUAUAAAUUUUUCGAUCCCACCUGAAGCUAGCGAUUUUGGAUCAUGGAGGAACUUAUCUAAUACAGAAUUCGAGCUCGAAAGGCCUCUUCCUUCUCUAAAAAACAAUUCUUCGCAUCCCCAUCAAAGGAAGCUUCUUAAUGGGUCAGGUCUUAACUUAUCAUCCUCCCCUUCAACCCAUUCUAAUGGUGAUGGAAUGGAUCUCUCUCCCGUUUGCAGCAAACGUAGGAUGGAUGAAGAAUGCUUCUUACCAUUAAAUUCUUGCUCUGAAAAAAGCCUAGAUGUGGAAAUGCACUCGAGUGAGCCAUUGUGGUUACAUGAGUUCAGCGGUGUGAUGAAACAAGCGUGCGGGCCCGUGACUGCUGCGAAGACCAUAUAUGAGGACGAAGAGGGAUAUCUUAUCAUGGUUAGCUUGCCUUUCGCAGAUCAAAGAAGGGUAAAAGUUUCUUGGAGGAAUAAUGUAACUCAUGGGAUAGUGAAAAUCCUUUGUGUGAGUACCGCUCGCAUGCCAUUUAUAAAGAGGAGAAGUCGGACUUUCAAAUUGACCGACUCCAACCCCGAGCACUGCCCUCCGGGGGAGUUUAUAAGGGAAAUUCCGCUUGCCACGCGAAUCCCCGAAGAUGCCAAGCUCGAAGCUUAUUAUGAUGAGAGUAGUGCAGUUCUCGAGAUUAUUGUGCCAAAGCAGCGAUCGGGAUCGGAAGAACAUGAAGUUCGUGUUUGUAUGCGACCUCCUCACCUUGGAGUAAAUGAUCUUAUGUUGACUUAGAAUAAUUCUAGUGAUAUAAUGUAAUGUGUGUAUGAUUGAUUGUUGGGUCAUGGUUUCCCAUGUUUACUAACCUGAAUCGUGGAAGGAAACAUGUAAAAGUUGAAGUUUAUCAACCGUAAUGGGGAAUGUCUUCAGUUGGUAAUUUGUUGCUGAAGAUUUGUUGUUGUCUAAUGUAUGAUCGUAUUGCUUAGUAGAAUUAUUUGAGAGAAAAAAAAAGAAAGAAAAUGGUUGUUUGGAUGGUGAUGAAUGGUGCAAGUUCUUGUUGACUGGUUUUUAUUUGCGUGUUACUCUUAUUUUUAUGGAUUUACUGCUGUCUAUGGAGAUGUAAUCUGUUUUAUGGAUGAAAGGCUUUUGUUAUCUUUGGAACCCAUAUAUUCAUUUUGUUAUCAGGAGAAAUUUCCAUUAUAAAACAUGUACUCAGGGUAGGAGGCCACUACUAGAAAGAAAUACAACCAUUUCGUUCAAGAGACAUGAAUGAAGAAAAGCUUCAACCAUUUUGUUUUUUUUGUCAUGCAUUUUGUUUGCAAUAUAGAGGGAAGAAAAUCUUUCUCAUCAAGAUAUUAAAAGCUACUUUGAUGAUGCUAAAUCUAUGGUCCUUGGUCCUUGCUAGACUUACAUAUAUUUCUCUUUCAGUAACUUUUGUGAUGAAGUUUCUCUGACAAUUUUUUUGAUUGAUAACUCAAUAGUAGUCAAGUAGAUAGGUAUCAGAAACAAAAAAAAGACAAAAUAUAACUUGUUUGUAUGGCCUCCAUACUAUUCUUAUGAUAGUAUUGCCUCGACAAUAAUUACAAAAAAGUUACUAUCAAUAAUGCAACAUAAUCAAAUCAUAUAUUAGACUACACCCCCAACCUUUUACACAUUGUGAGGUGAAUUUUCCAGCGAACCUUUCCGGUAGGCUUUCAGAUCAAGAGCCUGUGUUUUGAGUGUUUCCUUGUCGUCAUGUUUAAGUUAGAAUUAACGAUGACAGUAGACGAUGCAUCUGAGCAGAUUAAUGCUACGUCAGAGUUUUCACUUCAGAGGUGACUGGGAUUGAGGGAGAAAUGUGAUUCAUUCGGGAUCUAACAAGAGUAGCAGUUAUUUUACAUACAUCUCCUGCAAAAAUCACAUCUAACAAAGCACAUGGUCACAUCAGAAAACAUUGUUUAGCGGCAUUAAAUUGCAAGCACUUUUGUGCCAAAUAGUUGGUUGAUGGAGGCUUUGACACACACAUAAAAGAAGUAGAAACAACACAUAAAACAAGCAGUAGGCAUAGCCAUAACCUGUGCUCGCCACGCACUUCUCAAGUCCUCACUCGGUUACUGUUGAGUGAAAAUUGAAAGAAAGAGACAGAAAAGUAAGGAAAAAAGCAAAUUCUUACUGAACCGAAGAUUCGGUUGCACCCAAAACUAAGAAUAUACCGAGAUACUACUUCCACCCGACCAUCAUCUUCAACUAGUCAAAAAAAAAAAAAAAAAAAAAAAAAAAAAAAAAAACGCAACAGACGCUCGUAACAGAAAGGGGGACAACAAAGGCAAUGCGGACGAACCCCACACAAUGAUAAUAAUGCAGAAAGAAGAGCUGCACCCAACUCAGAACACGCUUUAAUCGACCUCCUCAAUCUUCGGCCCCGCGCCGCUGCUGCCGCCCGCAGCCGGCCCAUCCUCAUCCAUCCCUCCAGCCAUGCCGGCGCCAGCGCCUUGGUACAUCUUCGCAAUGAUCGGGUUGCAAAUACUCUCCAGUUCCUUCAUCUUGUCCUCGAACUCGUCGGCCUCGGCCAACUGGUUGCUAUCCAGCCAGCUAAUAGCCCCCUCGAUCGCGUCUUCGAUCUUCUUCUUGUCGUCGGCCGGCAACUUGGACGCGAUCUUCUCGUCCUUGAUCGUGUUCCUCAUGUUGUAAGAGUAGUUCUCGAGCGCGUUCUUCGCCUCGACCUUCUUCUUGUGCUCCUCGUCCUCCGCCUUGUACUUCUCCGCCUCCUGAACCAUCUUUUCGAUCUCGUCCUUGCUCAGCCGGCCCUUGUCGUUGGUGAUGGUGAUCUUGUUCUUCUGCCCGGUGGUCUUAUCCUCGGCCGAGACGUUCAGGAUGCCGUUGGCGUCGAUAUCGAAGCAGACGUUGAUCUGGGGCACGCCGCGGGGAGCGGGCGGGAUGCCGGACAGCUCGAAUUUGCCGAGGAGGUUGUUGUCCUUCGUCCUCGCCCUCUCACCUUCGUAGACUUGGAUCAAGACGCCGGGCUGGUUGUCGGAGUAGGUGGAGAAGACCUGCUCCUUCUUGGUGGGAAUAGUGGUGUUCCUCGGAAUGAGAACGGUCAUCACGCCACCGGCGGUCUCGAGGCCAAGGGAGAGAGGAGUGACGUCGAGCAGGAGGAGGUCCUGCACCUUCUCGUUGCCCUCGCCGCUCAGAAUCGCGGCUUGCACCGCCGCACCGUACGCCACGGCCUCGUCGGGGUUGAUGCUCUUGCAGAGCUCCUUGCCGUUGAAGAAAUCCUGGAGGAGCUGCUGCACCUUGGGAAUGCGCGUGGACCCGCCGACGAGGACGACGUCGUGGACGGUGCUCUUGUCCAUCUUGGCGUCGCGCAGGCACUUCUCGACCGGCUCCAUGCACUUGCGGAAGAGGUCCAUGUUCAGCUCCUCGAACCUGGCGCGGGUGAUCGGGGCGUAGAAGUCGAUGCCCUCGUAGAGGGAGUCGAUCUCGAUGGUGGUCUGCGCGGUGGAGGAGAGGGUCCGCUUCGCCCUCUCGCAGGCGGUGCGCAGCCGGCGGAGCGCCCUCGGAUUGCCGCUGAUGUCCUUCUUGUGCUUGCGCUUGAACUCCUGGACGAAGUGGUUGACCAUGCGGUUGUCGAAGUCCUCGCCGCCGAGGUGGGUGUCGCCGGCGGUGGCCUUGACCUCGAAGAUGCCCUCCUCGAUGGUGAGGAGGGAGACGUCGAAGGUGCCGCCGCCGAGGUCGAAGAUGAGGACGUUCUUCUCGCCGGUGCUGCCGGCCUUCUUGUCGAGGCCGUAGGCGAUGGCGGCGGCGGUGGGCUCGUUGAUGAUGCGCAUGACGUUGAGGCCGGAGAUGACGCCGGCGUCCUUGGUGGCCUGGCGCUGCGAGUCGUUGAAGUAGGCGGGGACGGUGACCACGGCGUUCUUGAUGGUGGAGCCGAGGUAGGCCUCGGCGAUCUCCUUCAUCUUCGUCAGCACCAUGGACGAGAUCUCCUCCGCCGCGAACUGCUUCUCCUCGCCCUUGUACUGCACCACGAUCAUCGGCUUGUCGCCGGGGCCUGCAAUCACCUUGAACGGCCACAGCUUCAUGUCGCUCUGCACCGACGGGUCCGAGAAUCGCCGCCCGAUCAACCGCUUCGCAUCUGUCAAAACAGCAGGAAAAUUGUCAGCAAAAAAUAGUCCCCACAAAUAACUUAAUAAUAAUAAUAAUUAUAAUAAUAGUUACGCGGAUAUAUAUCAUAUGAUUAUUAUUCGGGCUUGCGUAUCAUUAAGCUCAAAGCAAAUAAGAACUGCGAGCAUUACGCUACGAAAUUAUCUACAAGAAAGUAGUUCCUAGUACCUAUCCUACAAGAAUUAUUAAGUUUUCUAAAAAAGAAUACCCUAAAAACGAAGCGAAGAACAGACCUACAUCGACAGAUCUAAUCUACAGUAGUAAUUGAUUGAAAAGUAAUACUAAUGCUACAUCUUUCAAGAAAGAUACGCAUAUCGGCGGAUCUAGUAGAAAGUGGUAAUUGAUUAUCAUCUCGAAAGGAGAUACUACUUAAAAAACGUGGCCAAAAGCUGAAUAGCAAAACGAAAAUAAGGUAAAUAAUUCUAAGAUUUCGCAACGAAUUACACUAAUUACGGUGAAAAAUUUCUCUAGAAACACUAUACCACGAUCUGUAUAACCAGAUCUACAUAAAAACAAUAAUCCACCACAAUUUCAAAGAGGAAGAGAAGACUAUGCCACUAUGCCACGAUCUUUAUAACCAGAUCUACUUAAAAACAGCAAUCCACCAUAAUUUCAAAGAGGAAGGGGAGGAGAAACUCACCGAAGACGGUGUUGGUUGGGUUCAUGGCGACCUGGUUCUUCGCGGCGUCGCCGAUGAGCCUCUCGGUGUCGGUGAAGGCGACAUAGGAGGGGGUGGUGCGGUUCCCCUGAUCGUUGGCGAUGAUCUCCACGCGAUCGUGUUGCCACACCCCGACGCACGAGUACGUCGUCCCGAGGUCGAUCCCGAUCGCAGGUCCCUCGCCCUUACCCGCCAUGGAUGAUGGAUCAAGCAAAAAACAAAAAAGUCGAUCUAAAUCGAGCGAAAUCGAAGAAGAAAACUAGGGUUUUCGUAAGAGCAGUAGCAAAUCAAUCUCUCUGUGAGAGGAGGAUGGGGAGGGUCCUUUUUAUGGAGGAGGUGGGAAUUCCGGAAGGUUCGAAUCGGCGAAUCUGAACCGUUGGAUCGUUGCGGUGAGACGGUGCGAAAAGAGCAUACGUAUACAAAUUGGACGGUGAGGGAUGGUUCUCCGUGAAUCUAGUGAAUUCUAGAACCCUCCACGCCAUAAUUUGAACUGCAGUGCCACGCUUUUUGUGUCACGGUGAGGGGAGGAUGACACGUCGGCCCAAUGAAUGAGUGGGCCCCAAGUGUCAGAGUAAUAGUGGUGAAGAAGGCGUCUGAUUGGUGGAGUUUGGGUGCGAAAGUGACUCGGUUGCUACGAAUGUUGGAUUCGUGUGAAGCGGGUCGGACCGAACCGGAGAUAUUUUAAGGAAAGGCUAAAUUACACUUUUGGCCCUUAAACAGUAAAUCACGUGGUCCUUUUGUGGGUAUUUAGGAUAUGUGAAUCUCAUUACAAAUACGAUAUCCGGCGAAAAAUGGGUGAACCAAAAAAAAGGAUAAAGGUUAGGUAAGAACUAAUAAUGCAAUUAACCCUCAAAAUAUAUAUAUUUAGCCCAAUAUUAGGCCCACUAAGAGCCCAAAAUAAGGCCCGACCCGAUAUUUUGUUAUAGGGUCUACUCCAAAACUAACGACUACAAUUACACGACGCGUAUUAUUUCCACUCCCCUGGUCACUCCGAGCCUAUCGCGAACUGGCUUAUUAUAAGCGGAGCAGCAACACCAUCACCUCACUCUUCGUCUCCUCCCAACUCUCUCCUCCUCCUCCUCCUAUCUCUCUUCACUCCCUCUUCCUCUCCACCACCACCGCGCCAUGUACCUCCGCCUCCAAUGGCCUCCACCUCCUCCUCGCCCACCACCCCAACGCCGACCUCUCCCUCGUCCCCGACAAGGGCUUCUCCCACAUCUCCGACCCGCUCCUCGGAGGAGCCGUCCAUGGCCUCUCCCUCCGCCGCGCCCUCUACCUCAGCGCCUUCCACCUCAACACCCUUGUCAACAUGUACUUUAGAUUCGGCAAAACCGACUCCGCGCUCUACGUGUUCGACCAUAUGCCCCAGAGAAACGCCGCGUCGUGGAACACCGCGAUCUCGGGGUGCGUCCGAGUGGGUCGGGUUGGUAAAGCCUUGGGAUUGUUUAGAGAGAUGAGAGAAGGAGGCGUGAAGCAUAAUGGGUUUGCCCUCGCAAGCCUCGUGACGGCAUGCGACCGUUGGGCGGACGUAGUCGCGCAAGGUGUACAGAUCCAUGGGCUUGUGCUGAAGCUUGGGUUGAUGUCUAAUGUUUAUGUAGGCACCGCAUUGUUGCAUUUUUAUGGUAGUCGCGGGUUGGUCUACGAUGCUCUAAAACUGUUUGAGGAAAUGCCUGAGAGAAAUGUGGUGUCUUGGACUGCUCUAAUGGUCUCUUUAUCUUCAAAUGGACACCCUUUAGAAGCAUUGCAGGCUUAUCAGCAGAUGAGAAGAGAAGGGAUUGCUUGCAACGAGAACUCAUUCUCUGCGGCCGUUAGUUCGUGCUGUGUGCUCCAGAAUGAGAAGCUGAGUCUUCAAGUUGUGGCCCAUAUCGUGGUGUCGGGGUUCGAGACCGAUUUGUCUGUUACCAAUUCUUUGAUUACUCUAUUUGGUAGUCUGGGAAGAAUUCAACUAGCUGAGCAACUCUUUAAUCGGAUGACAGAACGCGACACUAUAUCAUGGAAUUCAAUCAUAUCAAUGUAUUCGCACGAGGGCACGUGUGACGAAUCCUUUCAGUUCUUUUCUAAUAUGCGAGGAAGUAAUUUGUGUCCUGACUCAACUACUCUAUCUAGUUUAAUAUCUGUCUGUGCUUCCUUGGAUCACUUGAGGUGGGGGAGAGGACUUCAUGCCCUUUGUUUCAAGGAUGGUCACAAUUCGUUUGUUUCGGUUGCCAACACGCUGGUUAAUAUGUAUUCAACAUGCGGAGAAUAUGAUGAUGCGGAGUUUCUAUUCGUCAGUAUGCCUAAAAGGGAUAUAGUUUCAUGGAAUACUAUGAUCGCUUCUUAUGCACAGAGCGGGAAUUGCAUUGAUGCACUGAGGAUAUUGAGCCAAAUGAUUCGAACGAAUGAAGGAAUGAAUCAUAUGACAUUUGCUAGCGCAUUGGCUGUGUGUUCAAGCCCAGAAACCCUAAUGGUUGGAAGAAUGGUUCAUGCCUUUGUAACUCAUCUGGAUCUGCAUUGUAACUUGUUGGUGUGUAAUGCUCUAAUCACCAUGUACACUAAAUGCAAUUCUAUUGAAGAAGCUGAGCAGGUGUUCAAGAUUAUGCCCACUCGUGAUGUAAUUACUUGCAAUGCACUUAUAGGGGGAUAUGGAGAGAAUAAGGAGCGGAUGAAGGCAAUGCAAGUAUUCAAAUGGAUGAAAAGAGCAUUCAUAAUGGCAAAUUAUAUUACGAUGGUGAAUAUACUCGGUGCUUUCUCAUCUCCAAAUGAUCUAAGAGACAAUGGAAUGCCCCUCCAUGCACAUAUAGUAUUGACUGGAUUCGAUUCAGAUGAGUAUGUUAUCAACUCCAUAAUCACAAUGUAUGCAAAAUGUGGUGAUUUUAAAUCUAGUGGGGCAAUAUUUCACAGAAUGGUAGUCAAGACCGCAAUUUCGUGGAAUUCCAUGAUUGCUGCAAAAGCCCAACAAGGACUUGGAGAGGAUGCUUUAAAGCUCUUAACAGAGAUGAGAUAUUCAGGGAAUGAUCUAGACCAGUUUAGCCUAUCUGGAGGCUUAGCAGCUUGUUCAAGCUUAGCAUCAGUCGAAGAAGGCCAGCAGCUUCAGAGUCUAAGUGUUAAGCUAGGGCUUGAAUCGGACAUUCACGUAAUCAAUACUACUAUGGAUAUGUACGGAAAGUGUGGAAAGAUGGAAGAAUUGCUAAAACUGCUUCCCCGACCAGCUGCUCGGCCUCAACAGUCGUGGAAUAUUUUGAUAUCAGGAUACGCAAGGCAUGGUUGUUUUGAAAAGGCUGAGGAGACUUUUAAAGAGAUGGUCUUCGUGGGGCUAAAGCCUGAUUAUGUUACUUUUGUUGCUCUCCUCUCUGCAUGCAACCAUGCUGGUUUAGUAGACAAAGGGCUUGAGUACUACAACUUGAUGAAUUCUGAAUUUCAUAUAACACCUGGAAUAGAGCACUGCGUUUGUAUAGUCGACCUACUCGGACGGCUAGGGAGGCUUAGUGAAGCAGAGAGGUUUGUAACAGAAAUGCCUGUCCCACCAAAUGAUCGCAUCUGGCGAAGUUUGCUUUCUUCAAGUAGAACCCACAAAAACCUUGAUAUCGGUGAGAGAGCUGCAAAACAUCUUCUGGAGUUAGAUCCACUAGAUGAUUCUGCUUAUGUUCUUCUAUCCAACUUAUAUGCUACAAGUAGAAAAUGGGAUGAAGUCGACAACUUGAGAGAACAUAUGAAGGCAAUUAAUUUGAAAAAGAGGCCAGCUUGCAGUUGGAUUAAGAUAAAGAAUGAGAUUAGAACAUUCGGCAUAGGGGAUAAGACACAUAAGGAUAAAAAGGAGAUCUAUGCAAAAUUAGGAGAAAUAUUGCUAAUGGUUAAAGACGUGGGUUAUGUUGCGGACACUUCCUAUGCGUUGCAUGACAUGGACGAAGAGCAAAAAGAACAAAACCUUUGGAACCAUAGCGAGAAGCUUGCUUUGGCUUAUGGUUUAACGAGAAUGCCCAAAGGGUCUUCGAUAAGGAUAUUUAAGAACCUUAGGGUUUGUGGGGAUUGCCAUUUGGUAUUUAAGUUGGUUAGUAGUGUGGUCGAUCGGGAAAUAGUUCUUAGGGAUCCUUAUAGGUUCCACCAUUUUAAAGGUGGAGAGUGUUCUUGUUCAGAUUUUUGGUAAAUUGAAUACUGAGACUAUAUCUUUUUUGUCACUGAUUGUCCAAGAACUCUGUUGGUACAGCAUUAUCCGGGUCAGUAAUUCUUUCAUUAAUUAUUAAUGUACUUCAACUUCAGUUGAUCUCAGUUUUGCUUGCUGUUGUUGACUAUGUUUUCAUUAUUCAGUUGUGGUAUUCUUUCUGAAUCAAUCUAUUCAAAGUAUAAAUUGUCGUACUUCUAUAAUUCGAUAAAUUGAAAUAGGCAAUUCAUUAUGUUCGAAGAUCGAACUAAUGCUACUUCUCAUUGUUCAAAACUCAGACAUUGAAGAAGCAAACGAUCUACAAAGUGUGAGCAACUGCUUCACUAGCAAACCCAAAAAAAUGAAGCCUAUGCCGGCGCCGCGACUCUACUACCAGUAAUCACCACAAGAGCAUGACCCAUCUUUGAAGUGGUGGAACCGGCUCCGAUCCCUCAACACAAUCUCCCUUCCAUAUAUCUUCGAUAUCAGCUUCAUCGCGACAUGGCAAUCCUCGCAGACUCUCAAGUUCUUCACCACCCUCAGCGUCGUCCCUGGCGCGGUCCUCAUCAGCCCAAAUGCUACCGCCGCCCUCUCACUAUGGUGUGCCGCUGGGGCCACUGCAGUCUCCGGCACGUUCCCGGCCUUCCUCAGCUCACGCUCAAUCCGAUCCAGCAUCACAUGCACCUCACGUGAGUGGCGGUGCAACUUAUCCUCCACCACAAAUGAGUAAACCCGACCGUCCAAUUCAAUCACACUGCAUCCGGGCUCCUUACCGAUCCCUUGCUUCUUCAUCCUCCUCCGCAUGUGCACAGCAUCGUCCUGCUGCCCUGCGGUGGCGUAGAUGUUGGACAUCAGCACGUGGUCACCGUGGUGAUGUGGGUCCAGCCGUUGGAUCUCCUGCAUUGCCGCCUCACCGAUUCCAACAUUCUUGUGCACUUUACAUGCACCUAACAGUGUUCGCCAUAGUACCGCCGUCGGCUUAAAGGGAGCUGUCCGGAUCAAUUCCAAAGCCUCAUCCAGCCGUCCGGCACGGCCCAGUAAGUCGACCAUACAACCAUAAUGCUCUGCCUGCGGAACCAAUCUGUACUGCCCCUUCAUUUCGUCGAACAAUCUCCGCCCUUCAUCAAGCAACCCAGAAUGGCUGCAUGCCGAGAGUACACUGAUGAAUAUUACUUCGUCCGGUUCUAUCCCAUCCUCCAUCACCAUUCGAUCAAAGUACUCGAUCGCCGUCCGUCCACAACCGUUGAUGGCCAAGCCAUUGAUCACAGCCGUCCAAGCAACGAGAUUCCUAACGGCUAUAUUCUCAAAUAUUUCAACGGCCCGAUCGAUGCACCCACACUUGGAGUACAUGUCUAUCAGUGCGGUGUUAACGCCGAUCCGGCCGUCCAUUCGAUGCCUUCGGAUAUAACGGUGCGCCCACUCGCCGAGCCGGAGCGCGCCUGCGUCGGCGCACGCAGUGAGCGCGGCCACGAGAGUGACCUCGUCGGGGGCGACCCCGCCCGCGAGCUGGAGCUCGCGGAACAGCUCCAGCGCGGCCCCGGAUAGCUUAUUCCGCGCAUAGCCCGCGAUCAUGGCGUUCCAGGAUACGACAUCCCUCUGGGGCAUUCCAUCGAACGCCUUGCGCGCGCGGUCGACGCAGCCGCAGGAGGCGUAGAGAUGGAUCAGGGCAUUGCGCGAGUGGAGAUCGGAUUUGAACCCGAGCUUGACGAUGUGGGCGUGGAUCUGGGACCCUUCGCGGAGAGCGAGGAGGAGGGAGAGGGAUUUGAGGAGGGAGGGGAAUGUGUGGGGGGUGGGGGGGAUGGCGUAUUCGAGGGAGGCGGAGUAGAGGAGAAUAGCGCGCUGGGGAUGAGGGGAUUGGGAGAGGGAUUGGAGGAUGGUGUUGCGUAGGAAGGAGGGAGUGGGAGUGGGAUUGGGGGAGUGGGAGAGGAGGACGAGUGCGCGGGCGAUGAGGGAAGGGUCUGCAGGGCCGGUCCGGUUCGCGCCGAGGGAGAGGAGACGGUUCUGGGCCGCGCCGGUUUUGAGUAGGAGGGCUUGGAGUUGCUUCGUCUCCGAGAGGGCUGGUGCGGUGGUGGCGGUGGUGGAUGGGUGAGGAGGAAUGGACGGUGGGGAUAAGGAGGCCGCGAACAUGGAGGGUGAUGGACGGACGGACGGACGGACGGAUGGUCGAAUUGCCUGCUGCUGAUGGAAGGUGCUGGCGAACUGAUAAUUUAUCUUUCUUUUUAGCCCUGCGAUUGCUUAUUUCAGGGUUAUUUCAGGUAUAAAUAAAUACUGGUCCAGAUAUAAACAAAUAUUAAAUCAAUUUUGUAUUAAUAAAAAAAAUAGAUUGUUCCUGAUAUAAUUUUAAAUUAAAAUAUUUUAUCCAAUUAAUUAAAAUCAAAAUGUUAAUUAAAAAUAACUUAAUAAAUUAAUAAAUUUAUUAACUCUGAAUGUUAUAUAAAAUAAUAAAAUAUGUCAAUUAAUUAAUUAUAAAAAUAAUAAUUUAAAAUUUUAAUUAGCUGGUAGAUUAUUUUAGUUAGAUAGCUAAUAAAAAAAUUAAUUAGAUUAAUAAAAAUAUUAAUAAUUGAUCAAUAUAAAUAUUAGUUUAUAGGUAAACACAUUAAAUUAUUAAUAAUUAAUUAUAAGUAAUAAAUUAAUUAAUUACUUCAUUAUUUAAGCAAUAGAUAAUAAUUUAAAUAUAUUAAUUAAAUUAACUAAUANUAGCUAAUAAAAAAAUUAAUUAGAUUAAUAAAAAUAAUAAUUUAAUAUCAUAAUGAAAAUUAAAUUUUAAUUUUAAUUAGUCCCACUUGAAAAUAAAUUUGUAAAAAUAAAAAUAAAAAAAAGAUGAAACAACAAUUUCAGACUUCGAAUCAUACCUUUCAAGAAUCUAAAAAUUACUGUUCUCAAAUACAAAAUUUUACGUUUGGAAACAAAGAGAAAAAAACUACUAUUUUCGGAUAGGAAAAUUUACAUUUGGAAACAAAAGUGGAAAUAGGGAGUCUUUGUUUGUUUUGUCCGAAACUGGAACACGUGAACGGAAAAAUUGUCCAGAGCCAGAUCUCUGGGAUCGGGUGAAGUUCAUGCUGAUUGCUGAGCUCUGCUUCUUUAAGUUGCUACCACAUUCAGAAGUUGUGCUUUCCACGGAUCUGCAGCGCGUUUCAGUCAGUAGUGGGAUGUGGCUUGCUGCAGGCCGGUCGCAGAACAGCCCGCACGAAGCUAGUCCACCACCAUCACCUUUGCUUGACGAGCCUGGGCUUAAUCUUCUGGAGAACAUUGAACUACGCAACCCCCAGAGGACUCGGGAGGGUUCAUUAAAUUCAGCAUUGCAAAAAGUUCAAUCAGAGUAUCAACCAGUAACUUUUUAUUACUUUGAUCUUACAAAACAACCAGUUAAAAGGCAUUAAUUUGAUACUCACUGACAUAUAUUAAUAUAUACUUCAUAAAAUUGCUGCAAAUGAUUGCGGGGUGCUCUGAGUUUAUUACACACUGAAGAGUAUGUGACCUUCUAAGACCAAAGAGAUGUUAAUAAAAUUUAAAAACAAGUUACAAUCAAGUAUCAACAAUGCAUUGACCGUUUCCCUGGUGACUUCAAUGUAAUGCCAACUUCUCUCUUAAUCACAGCCAAAAGCAAAUAAAAGGAGAGAGAAAAUAGAGCACAAGCACAGGGGCACAGGCUUGUGACUGAGGCUACUGAUAGAGAUGCAGGGGACCAACAUUGUCCACAAGUGGAAAAUAAUAUGAGACUCGCAACAUUAUCCUGCAACUUGAAAUGUAAAUUCCAGUGUCUGAAAGACAAAACUAAGAAAAAUAUAAGAGGAAAAAGACUCGUGAGGUGUUUCAAUCGAUCGCAGUGGGAUUCGAACCCACGACCUUUAGAUCCGGAGUCUAACGCGAUAUCCACUCCGCUAUGCGAUCUUUUUUAUCAUAUCAUGAAAACUUUUUUCUUCUAACAUAUUGCUUUGCCAUUUAGGGUAAAGAGAGAACCCAAAUAAAAAAAAAUGCAAAUGAACAAAAUAAUUGCUUUAACAUAACAGUAAAAAAAAAAAAAAAAAAGAGCUUUAACAUCAUCUAUCAGCAUUUAAGGGGCUUUGCAGCUAUUUUCUGAAAUCUGUGGAGAUAAACUGCUACUACUGAGACAACUUUCAGAAAACAAAAACUCCGCUGAUACUUAUGACAGCUGCAAGUAAAAUCUCCAAACGGUCGAAUUGCAAAAAAAAAAAAAAAAAGCCCCUAGCAUUUUACCUGGCUACAAUAACUUGUUAAAUGAGUGGCUAGAGGAAUAUUACGAAAAUAUAUGAUGCCAAAGAUGCAUUUAUGGACACAUGAAACAUGCAAUUGUGCGCCAGCUAAACCUAGUUGAUGCACAAAGCAACCAACAAUCAACAUAUUCUAUAGUGUUCGUCUGCCAAUUAAUGCGACUAAUCAAUCUUUAAAACCUCAUUUUGGGGUUUACAAAGCUGUCAAAACAUCACAUGCGACGCACAAUGGCAUUUUGAAACCAGGAUUUAACAUUAAUACACCUUUAAAUAACUAUGAAAUAUCCAUACGACAUAUAGAAGUUCCUUAUAAGUCUCAAACAUUGCAUAGGUCAUAUAUAACAGGAAUACAGUAACAUGAAUAUAGCCUGUCAAGAGGUAAGAUGAGACGCAGCCAUGGAAUCACUUCCCAGAAGUUCGCCUAUAUAAACCCACUGCUGUUAGCUCACCCACUUAGGAAAAUUAAAGGAAGCAGAGUCUCUAGGAAAUGUGUAGAAGAGGAAGCAUCACAAAACAUCAGCAUCGCUAUUUCUACGUCACGUAGCUUCUUAUUCCCCCCCCCAAAUUCUUAAAGUUUUAUCUAACCAACAGCUUAGCCCUGAGAAUUCCCUCUCAAAGGAUUGACAACUUGUAAACUGCCAUAUACUCCCUAGAAAUCAUUACCUGAUAUUAUUGGAAAGCAACAUUUGACAAUUAAAGGGACAAAAAUAAAAAAGUUUCUGCUACACAUGCAUGGUCACUACAAAUUUUUUUGCCUAUAUUAUCAAGCUACGAAUUAGGUUAAUCGAAAGGAAGAUUUUAGGAAAUUUAUGCAGCUAGAAAAGAAAAUAAACCUGACUUAACCCCAAAUAGUUCAUCAUUACGAUGAAGUUACUAAAUAAUAGUGUAUAAUUCAAGUGAAAAAGGAAACCCUCAAGUCGAAGUUAUGAAACUACACUACUCACCCAUUCAAAGCAAGGUUAAGAUCGUCUCAAAUCGAAGCACGACUCUACUCGAGAAUCGAAUCUACUCAAUACCUCAGAAAAGAGGAAAAAGAUGGUGAUAUCAAUUACGCGAUCUACACAUAAAACGGGAUCUGAACGCAUCAAUUGCAUCUAUGAAGCAUUCAAAUCGUUUCUCGCGAGAGAGAGAGAGAGAGAAAGAGGAAGGGAGAACGAUCGAUGUGGGGCUAGGGUUUUGGGGGGAGGAGGAGGAUCACACACAUACCUCCUGAUCUCCUGGGCGUAGGGGGAGUUCUUAGCGUCCUCCUCUGCGUGCAUAGGAGUAGAGAGAAUAGGGUCAAAUCGAAGAUGAUGGGGAUCGAGGGGAGUGUAGAGGGGGGGAGGAGAUCGAUGGGGAGAGUGACGAAGAGGAGGAGGAAGGGCCAGUUUCGCCUCCACUCCCGCUUGAAGAACACCGGCCAUGGAUCGAACUUUCUCAUUCUCUCUCGCCUCUUCUCGUCUCUUCCCUUCUCUUCUUUUUUACGCUGCGCUUCGAACUUAUUCUCCGCUACAGCGGCGGAAAUGGCGACGAAUGACCGGUUAGCCCCCUUGGGCCCGCUGUGAGGUGGGCCAGCCCACAAUGGACAUUGUAGUUUUUUAAAGUAAAUUUUUUUUUUAAAAAAAAUUGACUGUUAUGAUAGAUUUUUUUUUCUCUGUUUUUUUUUUUAAAAAAAAAACUCCUCGUAAUUUCAUGUGGACUGGUAAAAAAUAUUUUCUUCCCUAGCUUUUCUUUCUUUUCUCGUUUUCUCUUUGUCCAAAUAAAGUGUUAGAAAAAAUUUUGGCGGCAGAAAUAUACUGCAGCACUUAUUUAUAGGUCAAAUGCGUAGAUGACUUAGUUUCUUCAAUUUUUGGUCACGUUUCACUUUCCAAAUUUAUGUAUGAAAUUUAGUCACUAUUUCAAAGUUGUGAAAAAUUUAGUGAAGCCUUAUUUUUUUUAAAAAAAAAAUAAAUCAUUGUUUACAUCUGAAUCAAUAUUUUUCCUGCACUAAAAUCAUCUUGUGAUCUUCUAUUCAUAUCAUCAUGUUUUAAAUUAUUUAUAGAAUUAUGGUCGAUAAUGUUCAAUGCGUGAAUAUAUUUACCCUAAUUAUUUGGGACCAUGAACUCAAUAAUAUAUCAGUGAGGAAGAUUAACAUGAAGUUUUUAUUCAGAAAAAAAUAAGGAAAAAGACAGGAGUAUUUGGAAAAUCUUAGCUCCUCCUAAUCUUAGUGCUUUGGAAUUUUCUCUCGACUUACAGACGAAAACAAAUGAAAUGUCUACUUUUUCUAAAAAUUCAAAGAACAUUGGCUGCACAGGUUUAUGCUAAAACUUACAGAGUAUGGCCAAAGGUGUUUGAUUUGGUUCAGAAGAGAUUGAAACCACCUAUUUGGUGAUAAUAUAAGGGAACAAAGAGAAAAUGUUGAAUUUGUACGAUAAACAAUGCUAAAAUGUAAAAAAAAUAAAAAUAAAAAUAAAAAUUCCAGAGCAUGAUUUGUGUUUGGAACUGAAGAUUGGAGAUUAAGAAGUUCUUCAGUAAAUUAGAAAAAAUGAUCUUCAGAGUACAAGUGAUGUAAUACUUUGCUGUUUAAUUUGUGAAACUAAAUUACAGAAUAUGAAUGUAGGAAUAACUGAAUAGGAUCACAUUCAGUAAUAAGGGUAAGUUUCAUAAUUUAACUAUCUAGACAAUGCUGAAGAAAUCAAAUUCUCUAUUUUGAGGGGACAGAAAAUUUACUUUUUAUUUGCAUGAAAACAUAGUUACCAUUAUAUUUCAAUUGGUUCAUAGGCAUAUUAUUGCAUCAUUCAAUGUAAUUAGCUAGAAAGUUCUUCAGUUGGCGUCACUGUCACAAGCAAGCAUAAUAAGCAAACUCCUCUUCCUCAAAGAAUCAACUGCACAAAUGAGAUAGCAUAGGAAAAAAACAAAAAUCUAGUGCCAUAACUUGAUGAGCCAUUUUAAUUAGCGACAAUCUCCAUGCACGCAGUGCAGUAGCUUGUUUUAAUUUAGUAUUCCACUAAUCAUUCACUAUCAUCAGAAAAAUGAUUAAGAGUAUGCAACUACACUAUGUUCAGAUCUUAAACGAAUUUAGCGAAGUAACUGUUAACAAAUGUUGCAGUAUAUCAUCUCAAUGGACAACAAAAUUUAGAAGUGCUUCACUCAACAAAUCUACGCCAUGCAAAGACAAACAUCUCAGAAGCGAAAACGAGUAUACAAACCACCAUAUAAUUGCUCCCAGUUGGCAAUCUAAUAAAAUAUAUUGUAAGAUUAUUCUGACACAUUUUGAUGUAACCAACUGCAGCUUAUUACAGGUGCACCGCCAUAUGGGCUAAAAGCACAUAUACUAAACAGGAAAGGCUAACAUAUUGCUUUUCUUAUGUAAGGAGAAGGAAAUUGCGAUGUCUGCGAAAGACAACCUGCUCUAUAGAUCUUUACAACUGCCACCUGAUUAAAGGAAAAGAGUUUGCAUAUAGCUGUAUUGCUUUACGGCGACCAAUAGAAACAUGCAGCAACAAAAUUCAAGAACCUAACAGAUAAUGCAUCUUACUCAAACUCUGCAGAUAAUGAAUCCAAAAAAUUUACGCAUGUCAAAAAUGCAUCAGAUUCAUUCGAUUUCUAUAUUAGCUGCUAUACGUAGAAAAGGAAACUUAUAUGAGUGAGUUGUUUUGCAAUGUUUGGAAAGUGAAACAAACUAACAAAAGAACCGUACAAAGAGCUGCACAAUAGCGAGAAAACCAUCUGACGAACUGUUUACCAAAGUGAUAGCUCGCAUACCAAAUUAUGUUCAGCUCCUACGAUAUGCACCUAAUAGAAGCAGCCAAUUACUCUGCAACUCGCGUAUUUGUCAAUUUUAGGAGGCUGUUUACAUAAGAAAGUCCGGAUUUUCUGUUUAUAGAAUUUUUACUAAUUCUCCAUGCUUUUCCAGUUAUUGCGUCAUAGCAGAUACGCUUCUCAUUAACUUCGAAUAUAAUGAAAUUAGCUGCAAAAGUGAGAAUGUCUACCGUGCUUCUUCGAAGAAUUGCCUCCAAUGAUUCAGACUUUCGAUUUCUAAGAUUCAUUCUGAGGCCCAAUGAUGCGAAGAAGUGAAAAUUUUCUCUAGCAACGGCUUCGAUCGUCAGCAACAGCUUCUUGGACCAACAGGAUUUGUUCCAAGACCAUAUAGAAAUCUCCCCAUUUUCAGUAGUCAUGAAGCUGAGGUGCCCAUUCCAUUCUCCCAGUCUAUGCUUACAGUAUUUGAAUUGCGAUGGCAAUGAUAAUGUGCCACAACGCUCUUCUUUCGCAUCAAACCAUAUCGCUUUUUCGUGAUGCUCCCAAAAAAGAGUCCCUUCCACAUUGGUAACGUACCUAAACGACCAAAACGGCGAGCUGUACGUCAGAACUUUCUCCUUAGAAAUCUCCCAUGAGCCCUUCGCUGAAGCUAAAACCUUGAAACUUACUUCCAUGACUAAUUCGUCACUAUCGUAACGGCGAAAGGGCACGGCGAGCUUGUAGCCGACACCAGAUUCCAUCUCAUUAACGGCCAAUCCGAUGCUCACGAUCGGAUCGUCAUCAAAAGGCGGAGGAAGAAGUAUCCAAUUGUUUAGCACCGGAUUCCCCACAUAGAGCAGCAUCCUGUCCCAGCUAAGUGAGACCAGGCUAACGCAGAUUAUACCCUUGCACGAGGCCAUGAUCUUCGGAGGGUGCCAAUACCGUUGAUCAUCGAACUGCUUGCAAAGUUUCGGGAAGCCGACCGAGUUGGGGUCUGCGGUGUACAAGCUCGGCUCGGGCUUAUCGGUGAUCACAAGAAGAGCGGGACGAGAACGUGCGUGGGCGACCUGGAGGCGGGCGAAAUAGGGAUCGUUCAAGAUCAAGGAUCGCCAGCUCUUCGACACGCAUUGCAGCCGCACGAGAUCUUUGGUGGGGAGGCAAGGGAGGAUACGGUAAGCGAUGAGAUCAUCGGAGAUGCACGGCCACCGCGCGUUCUUCAUUCUUUAACCACAUCCAUUACAAAGAGAGCUUUAUUAGCUAUAGAUGAUUCGAUCGAUCGACGUAACAAAUACAUGCAUGAUACGUACAUUUGUUGCACCAUCUAAAGAAACAAGGAAAGGUUACAUACUUAUAAAGAGCUUCUUGAGGAGAAUCGAUGAGACCUUUGAUUAGCUGCGGCUUUUCAAUUACUUUGUGAGGGUUUGAGUACUCAAAUUCUCAGAUUAGAAUUGGAUGGAGUAAGAGGAAAUAAGACUUAAAAAGGAAGAGCGAAUUUUGUUUGGAGGAGCAACUAACCGUCCAAGUGAUCCUAACCGUCCAAAACGGCGACGGUUACAGUUAAACGUUCUUAACCUGAAACGCCACUUAUUUUUUUUAUUUAUAUAUUUUAUAUUAAUAUUUUGCAAUAUUUAUAUUUAAAGUUUGAUUUUUUUAUAAUAAUUUUAUGAGAAAUGUGAAGGUUUGUUCUCCAUUUCGAAUUAAAAUAAAAUGAAAAAGACUAGUAACUUAUGUUAGCUUGUUUUGUUAUAUUCUCACAGCUUUAUGGUUCUGUUGAGGGUAUAUAUGGAGUUUUUUUUUUUUUUUUUUUUUUUUUUUUUGGGUUGCUUUUGUUGGGAUGUUUUGAUUCUCAGCGCCAGUUGCCUCACUUCUGUAGCUCAAUUUAUAUUUGUUAUGGAUAAAACAAACAACAAGCCUACCUUUCUUCAAAAAUAAAAAAAAAAGAAAAAAGCCAUGAAACAUAUAAUACCUAUGGUUAUUUCUCAAGUGAUAUCUUUUUUUUUUCUUUUUUUUCUUUUUUUUUUUUUUUAAGAGAUAGAUAGCACGCUAUCCGCUUCGUUUAUUUUAUUUAGAAAUAAACUUAGCUAGAAAUGUGAAUCAACUUGGAUUCGAACUUAAGUCUUGGGUACCAACCACCAAACCCUUUGUCAUUUGCUUUAGGGACGAUCGGUAUUUCUCAAGUGAUAUCAAAAUAUAUGACUAUUUGAUCAUUCAAAAUUAAAUUCCAAAAACUUUUUGAUUAAAACUCUCUUAACUUUUAAUCAUUCAAAAUUAAAUUAUUUUAGUCAAAAAAUAAAAAUAUAAUCAAAUUCAUUAAUAAUUUUAUCCAAAUUAAUAAUUUUAAUUUUUUUUUAACAAAUAAAAUUUAGUCUAAUGAUCAAUGGCUAAUAAAAUAAAAAAUUUAACAAUAUUUUCAACUAAAGUAUUUAGCAUAAUUCAAUUCCAAAAAAUUUAAAUUUUAAAAUGUCCUAAUAAAAAAAACUUUAAAGUUAGGAGGGUCCAUUUUGAAAAGUCCUAUUGUUGGUGGGCCUCGAUGCAUUUUACCAUUAGGGAGUUAGGGACAAUUUCAAACGAGUGGCACAUCCUAAGUAUUACCUCAACCAAAAUUUUCCUCUCUCUCUCUCUAACCCUUCUUCUUCGUCUCUCUCCGACCCGUUUCCUCCUCCAUCGAAGAUCCCUCGUUUCUCCAACCCUUUUUAAACUAAUUUAAUCUCAAUAUUAGCUCAUAUUUUUCUUUUUUUUGGUUUCAGUUUAGUUCUUCGAGCGCAAUUUUGAGAUCUAAAGCUAAUGUAUGCAAUCUCCGCUAAUUGAAUGUGUCUAGGGUUUUAGGUUCUACGAAGUUCGUACUUUGAUCGCUGAUUUGAACAUCUGAAGCAGGGAGGUGGAGGAGGAGUAGUGGAUCGGAGUUAGGGUUUGAUGUUCUUAGAUUUUGUAGCUUGUUGAGGGAGAUCGUGUAACCUGUUGUUGGUAAAUGAGUCCCGAUCGCAGCAGGAGUCCUGUGCGGACUCGACGAUUCCGCAGCGAGCGCACGUCGAGCCGCUAUUCCCCGUAUAGGAGAGAUCGCCCCAGCUACAGGUGAGAUUUUUAUCUUUUAGUUGAUUUGUUAGUUGCUUUGUUUGCACGGAUUAUUAUUAAUCUAAUAUGGAAGUGAAUUUGGUGUUAAUUUCAUCUUUGAAUUGCAUACGAGUUUAAAUUCGUAGGUAAAUUUUAUGGUUUGUUCUUUGAUUCCUCUAGAGUUUGUUUUAGGUUUUAUGAGUUUCUGCUGUCUUGAGUGAAUCUGAUGAUCGACUAGAGCUCGGUGUAAAUUUACGGUAUAGAUGUCUAGGUCUUAUGAACUGUUGAGGCCUUUUGGUUUGUUGCCUCGUGUUGAAAGACGCAUGUUCUUUUCAUUUAAUUUAAGUGUAAAGAGUGAUAAUGAUUAAUUGAGUUAUUUUUGGGUAACAUAAUCAUGAUAAUGUAUUCAUGGAAAUUGUACUACAGCGUAAUGUACGUCUGUCUUAAAGCCUUGAUACAUCACGUUUAUAUUUUUCCCGCCAUAGGUUUGUAGGAUCAAGUAAUAUUGUAUAGAAUGGUCGAUCUGUAAAUUUGUGUUUUUUUAGUUCCAAAGUGAUUGGCUUCUCUAUUGUUAUUGUGGCAUAGCAUUUGCCGUCGUGCAUCUAUGGGACACGCCACGUCCCACCUAAUAAUUAUUGCCAUAACAUUGUAUUUUUACUUUCUCUCUUGUAGUCUUAUGACGCCAUCAGUUUGGAGCGAUCAAUUUUUCUCGUUGGUGUUAUAUGUGUUGUGGAUGUCCAAGCCAUUUGAAGCUUUAUUCUGUCGUUAAUAGAUGAAUCUUUUAAUAUCCGCAUGCUUGUUUCUUUUUUUUUCUAUCUUUUUUUUUUCUCCCUAUCUUCUCAUGUUUGACUGUCGUUAUGAUAUUUCUUGUGUACCUUUUCAAGCAAUAUCAGUCAUUCUUGCUUUUAGAAAAUUUUCUUUCAAAACCCAUGUCACUCGGUGAACCAUGUCACUCGAUGGAAGGAUCAGGCUUAUUUUUCUCAUUGAAGAAAUGCAAAGUUAAUGGAACAUUAAUAUUUCUAUUCCAGUUUCAUGUACAUUGACCGUUUCAAUCUCCUAUUCUUCAACUGUAGGCCCCAACUUUGGUAUGUCUUCACUUAUUAGGAACAACUUUCUCUUUAUUUGACGCCACAAAUUUACUAUAUUUACUAUAUCUGUUAACUCUAACUCAUUCCUAGGGCUAGUGAAUUUUUAGAAUCCAAUCGGCAUGAAUAAUGACAACAUCUGUGUUUCUCUUGUUACAAAGUUUAUAGGUCCUGUUCUUCUUACACUGUUUUAUUAAAAUAUCAAUUUCAUCCCCAUUCCAAAUAUCCUUUUGAAGAUGAUGCGUGGAAGAUCUUCAGUGUUUUGUUAUCGCUUCCAAAUAUGAGCUUUUUUCAAAAUAAAAGGAAAACAAAAAAUGUAAUACAUCUUACUAUCUUAGUGCACUCAGAUGCAUCGUAGUGGAGAAAAUCUACAAAAUCUUAAGGCUUUGUGUCACUUAAUUGGGGCUAGCUAGAUGACAAUCUUUUCAUUCCUUGUGUAAAAUAGUACAUCUUUGUGAAGUAUUGAAUGCUUAGAUGACAAUCUUUUCAUUCCUUGUGUAAAAUAGUACAUGUUUGUGAAGUAUCUUACUAUACAUGGGCGUCAUUAUAAGCAUGCACUCUCUCUUACUUAGUAUUCUCAUAUUUAUAUUAUUAAUUGUUUUUUUGGCAAUUGUAUGUAUUAUCCCCAGGGAUUACAUUUGCAAGAACUGCAAGCGUCCUGGACACUAUGCCAGAGAAUGUCCUAAUGUUGCUGUCUGCAACAACUGCGCUUUUCCAGGGUAAAAUAAUGCUAUGCAAUUUGUUUUUUUUUGUUUUUUUGUUUUUUUUUUUUGGGGUUUCCUCUGACUAUUAAGUAUUAAUACAAGAUAUGAUAGGCUGUUCUUUUCCUUGCCCUUCUGGAAAGAAAAAUACAUGUGCGAUUUAGUCCAUAGAAGUUUCACUCAGCAUCUUGUCUAUGCUAUUCAAUUCUAGUAGUACUGUAGUAGUUAAUACUACAACUUUAAUUCUUCCUAGCUUUUUUGUUUAUUGAAUCUAUCCUUUUCUCCUUUUCCAAAAACCCCUUUAUGUUACUAAUUCAUCUUCUCGGUAAUAGGCACAUUGCGGCUGAGUGCACCUCCAAGACCGUAUGUUGGAACUGCAAGGAGAAUGGGCAUGUCGCCAGUGAGUGCAAGAAUGAGCCGGUGUGCCACACAUGCAACAAAACAGGCCAUUUGGCACGUGACUGCAGUGGGCCAAACAACAAUGACAGGUUAUGCAACAACUGCUUUAAACCUGGGCACAUCGCGAUAGAGUGCACCAAUGAGAAAGCCUGCAACAACUGCCGCAAGACGGGCCACCUGGCCCGUGACUGCCCCAACGACCCGGUCUGCAACCUCUGCAACGUAUCUGGCCACGUGGCCCGCAACUGCCCCAAGUCUUCGACGAUGCUGGCAUCUGAGAUCCAUGGAGGACCCUUCCGUGACAUCAUGUGCCGCAUGUGCGGGCAGACAGGGCACAUAAGUCGGGAUUGCGUUACCGUUAUCAUCUGCAACAACUGUGGUGGGCGUGGCCACAUGGCGUAUGAGUGCCCAUCAGGACGGAUCUUUGAUCGUGGGUUUCGCAGAUACUGAUUGGCAUAUUAAUUAUAACUCUUUUAGGUGCAUGUGGGAUAUAUCUUUGUUCACUAAUGUAUUUUGCAGAUAUUUAAGGUUUUCAGCAGGCUGCCAGGUUGUUCAUUUUGGUGGUUUCGCAUCCGGAGUUACUGUUUGAGAGUAGGCAUGUUUUAAUUGCCCUCUGGCCGAUUUAGAAUUUCAGUUUAAUCUCCCGAUUCUCGCGUAUGUUGUCAAAUUGAAGAGAUGGAGCGUGUUUUUUUUUACUCUUUUAUUCGAGCUAUUUAGCUAUUUUCUGACUAUUUUUAUUUCGCCGGAUGCUGCUUCAACCUGCGCGAUUAUAGUUUUACUGGAUCGUAUGUGCUCAGGGAGAUUUCGUUGCUUUUCCUUGCAUUGUGUUUGUCAUUUUCAAUGUCUCGUUUGAUAGUUAAUUUAAGCAGGUUGUGUUUGUAACUCUCGAGUUACCUGCUGGAAAGUAAGUAUGGUAUGUUGUGUUGUUUUCCUUUCUUUUUGAAAACAGCACUGAGAAUGUAAUGUAGGCAAAUCUGGUUUGCACAAGAGUAUUAUUAUUAUAUGAUUUAUUAUUAGUUGAGUAUGACUUAUUAUUUGACAAAUGGGAUACAUGGAAUUUGAUCGCGAUCAGGGUGAAUUUGGUCUGUAUUUAAUGCUUGGUGACUAUGUAAUGCUUCACGACGAGCAUCCUGGCUGGCUGUUUUUCUUUUGUGGAUAAUGAUAAGUAAUAUUGCUUUGUAAAGAUCACUGCCUCCUCCUAAUUUUUUUAACAAAAAAUUUACUGUUAUUUAUAUAAAAUUAUAUAACAACGCCAGGAAACACUGCACCUUUUUCUUUAUUAUUUUUUUUUAGAAAACAGGCUAGGUUCUGUACUGUGGAAAAAAAAUAUAUUUAUAUAGUCUGACACUUCAAGAUCUCAAGUUUCUUGUAUCGUGCAAUGUUUUCUCAGGCCUUCUCUGUCACCUUUUAAAGAAAAUCCUAUGGAAUCGUCAUUUUAUGAUGGUCAGAAAUGAAAAUAACAUAUUUGAGGUUCUAGGUUCUAACUACAAAGUCCAGUUGUUCUAGAUUUUGAGUUAAUUUUUUUUUUUAAAAAAAUAUGAACAAAAUGGUAGCAUGUUAUCAUUCUUUCUCUCUCAAAAACGGAAAAAGAAGAUAAAAAAGAAAAUAGGGACAUGGUACUAACCAGGAUAUGGUUAGCACAAGUGAGAGAUAAAUAACCUUACAUAAUUCUAUGUAGUGAACAGAAACAAAAAGGUGUCGUGGUGUAGUUGGUUAUCACGUCAGUCUAACACACUGAAGGUCUCCGGUUCGAGUCCGGGCGACGCCAUUUUUUAAAUUAUGAUUCUUUUUGUUCGUUGGUUUUAUCUUUCAGCCACCAACUCAACUAAUUAACAGGCGUCUUAAAAGCGCCUAGAAUAAAUAAAAAAAAUAAAACGGAUAGUGUUACUAUCUUUCUUAAAAAAAAAAAAAAAUCCAGAAAUAAAUAAAAAGUGGAAAACAAAAUAUAUGUUGAGAUCCUUCUCUCUUAAAAAAAAAAAAAGGACGGACCCAGAAAUAAAUAAAAAGUGGAAACCAAAAUGUAUGUCGAGAUCCUUUGAUUUUGAAUUUAGAGCUCAUUUUGGCCUUUUGAUCUAAAUGGAAAAUAUCCGGAAUUACAUUUCUAAUUUUAAUAGACAGUUGUUGAGCACGGAGAAACUGUUCACAAUCCAAGCUCAACAAUUACCGGCAUUUUACCACCAGAGACAAAAAAUUUGAUAGUUGAUAUUCGAAAUUCCAAAUUCGAAUUCUAGUUGAUUCACAUUUUCAGUUAAACUUAUUUUUUUUAAAAAAUAAACGAAACAGAUAGCAUGCUACCUUUCUAAAAAAAAAAAAAAUAAUUACUAGCACAUUUUACCCAUAUGUAUAACUUCCGCAAAAGCUCUAACUUUUUAUUUGUCACGUAUGCAAUUUUUGUUUCUCACAAAAAAAAAGAAAAAGAAAAAGAAGCAAUCACAAGCCGAGCCAAACAAUCCUUCCUCAUCUUCAAACAAUGUGCCACAACAAAUAUUUACACAAAACCAUUGGCAAUGUUCCAAACAAUAGCAUAGCAAUCUACUUCCAUUCAAUUAUUCGAAGAAGACUCGAAACAAAAGGCGAAGAGAAAAAUCACAGCUACCAAUUACGUUGAAGACCAAGGCAAUGAGAGCCAAGCCAAGCUUAACAACCGCUGUUGUUUCAAAUAACAUUUGCAAUUCCUGGUGGAGCUCAUAACCACUGAAUCGCAAGAAUGUGCGGCAAAAUGUACCAUAACUUAUAGCGCUAAAUCAUAAGAAAGAGACCAGAUUAGUAGAAUUAAAAGCACAACAAAGUCGUGUGGCAGAAAUUCAUUAAUGUAAAGCUUAGUCUUUUUUCCGAAAAAAAAAUAGUCCCUAAAUCUACUGCAGUAUGACCCUAAUAUGACUCAAAACGGCAUCAGUAAGACGAAUACUUCCGACAUUAACUUAGUACCACACUCGCACUAUUUUGGUCAUGAUUUAACUCAAAUCAGUAUUCGCUAUCAACCAAAUUGGUUAUUUCCAUAGGAAGAACAUCAUCUUAGCAAAUAAAUAUUCAAUCUCCCAACUUUUGAAAGUUCUGCACCAACAAAAAAUUACUAGAUACUUAUAAUUUUUUGCACAGAAAAGAGACCAAUCCAGAAAGACAGAAAUCGCGAAUAGAAGGACGAAGAGGCAACGAGCCAUAAAUAGAACCAUAUAAAAGUAAGCACAAUUAAUAUAUUUCACCACAGCAUGACGAACAAUACAAGACGAACAUCGAAAAUGGCAUUGAUGUAAAUAUCAUCCUCAAGUCACUGCUGUCAAUUUCCCAGGUCAGGUAAAAAUUGACCCCAUAAAUAAGACGUGCUAUAAGCUCUACGAUAUGUUACAAAAUCUUCAAUGCAUGUUAUCUUUCCCAAGAAUUGUGUGUGUAUCUUCUUGGCUCCUAAGUGUUUCCUUUAACCUAAAAUAAUCUCCAUUCCUAACGGUCCAAUGCAGAAGAUAAGGUAUAAUAUUCCAGAUUAGUGGUGAGCUGUUUGCAAUAAGAAACUUGAUGGGAAACAAGGUUCUAUUCUGCUGCUGACAAUUAACCUUUUGCAACAUACAAUCUUCUGUUUCCAUCUUUCAACAACAAAAUUUCAUAACUUACCUACCACUAGUUUUGUGUUAUUGAUAAUUAAUUUGCUGAUUUCACAAAGCACUUCAACAAAAAAACACCUUAUAGCUUGACUCAAGCUAUCAAAGUCAACCAUCAUAUGAUCAAAACCCCAAUCGAAGCCAACAAUAACAAAAAGAAUAAACCCUACUUUUAACUAUAAACUUCAAGAUAUGACCUUAUCCUAUUAUAGUUUAUUGCCUUAUUUUUCUCCAGUACAGAUUAAUUCCUCUCAAAAUCCUUCCAACCAACCAGCUAGCAUAUAGGAUUUUGCUCCAUGAUUUUUCUGACUCCAAAAGCAUAUAUGAAGACAAUCUCAAAUUCCUAAGAAAUAACAAAAUGCAAUUAAGAAUCAAAAUUAAUGGACUAGGCUCAAAAUGGAUUUAACGAAAUCAAACGUAACCUAAUCUACUUUAUUGGAGCAUACAGGUUUACCAGUUUCACAAUUACAUAAAAUUCUGGUUGAUUGACCAUGAGCUAUAGUGAAGUGUUCGAGCAAAUCAAAUGUAGCACAAGGCAAAAUUGCCUACUUCAGAUGAAAUCCUACUAAUGUUUGCAAACAAAGAUAUCAAAACAGGUAUAAGAACUGUUAACACCAUACUACACAUUUUGCAACAUCAAAAGAGUAUGAAUACAAGAACGUGAUUCAAAAUUUACGAAUCCAUCACAUAGAAAGAUUAUUAUGGUAAGCAGUAAGAGUCAAGACAACACUCAAAUGGGUGCACAACCAUCUAAAAGGAAACAAGGGUUUUGCCUGUCCGGCUACCACCGCAAACCGCUGCAAUCAUUAGCUUGUAAACAUCCUUCUACAAGGAAACACCCAUCAGAUAGGUCCGGGAGAAUAACAAAUGGCAUAGCCAGAAUUAAUGAUGUUAUUCAAGGGCAAAACAGUAUAGUAUGUAAUAAACUGAAAAAGAAAUAGCCAUAUUAUCUAGCCAACACAUUGUCCCGUGAAAUUAUGAACACCACAGGUAAGCAGCCAACUAACCCAUUGCAUUACGAAUAAAUGCAGCUUCAGUUGGCGCGGCCUCUGAUGACAUCCAAUCCCAUCUCAGUAGGAUCAGUUGCCUGGAGUUCAACCUGAAUACCAUCCAACUCCCUCUUGAACCUGUCCUUUGAGCUAGCAUAGAGCAUCUUACUCCUCACCCUCGAAGUGUCCGGCGACCUUUCGAUAAACACAAGAGAUAGCUCACUACCAAGCACUAUUCACCUCAUCGACAGUAACAAUAAUACAAUAUAAGCAAAAUAAAGGGAUUACCAAGCAAUGAAGAAUAUCUUGCUCUUCUGGCAAUUCUCUUCCGUGACGAAAUCAAAGUCAUAGACCGCGUAUCUGCACUCGUCCGCUGGGAGGCUCGCGGUGAAAUCAUCAUAGUUCAGAGUCGGCUCACCGACCUUCUCCACGAUGAUCUGCUUCAGCUUCUCCUCGAUCUUGAAGAUUACGAAGCGGUGAGUCCUCUUCGCCUUCAGCUCCAAGAAUUUCAGCUUACACUCAUCGUUCACAGCCAUUCCCGACGCCGCAUUGGCCUACAAGCGCAUCGAUCAACAAAAUACAAAGCUAAAUCAUGCAAAUAUUCAAAAAUUACAAAAGUAACGGGAGAUCUACGAAGUAAAGAGGAUUCAGGUGGGAGAAGCUCAAGCGACAGUGUUGGAUAUAUCUAAGCAUUCUAAUUUUACGCCUAAAUAUUGCAAUUCGUGUACCAAAAAUAGAAAAGAAUACACAUCAUCUACCACAAAUGAAUCAGUGAACAGUGAAAUAAUCAGAUCUACGAAUAGAAUCGUAAUAAUCUGAGGAUAAUCCAGCUACGACGGAUAAAGCAGCAUGGAUCGCGACUUAUAGAGCUCAAAUGGCGCCCAAAAAUGCACGAGAAACAGGAAAUCAACGAAAACCCUAGGAUCAGAGAGGAAACAAUCCGAAGAGGAGAAGAAGCUUGUACCAUUUCUCUCCGCGGUGGCGAUCGAUCGAAGAUGAAAGGGAGACGACGAGUCGACGAGGAUGAAGAGAGAAACUCGAGGAGAGAGAGAGAGAGAGAGAGAGAGAGAAUGUGAACGCGAUGAUGGAAGAGGGGUGGUGUGGGGAAGGAGAGCGGAGCGAAAAGUGAUGAGACGUGAAAAAGAAGGGGAAUAAUAGCUUUCGGCGUGGUAGGGGCGGUGGGAUUUUUUAAUUUAUAUAUUUAUAUAAUAUAAUAUAAUAUUUUAUUUUUGAUAAUUUAAAUCGUUUCAAAAUGUUUAAAAGGUGAAAAAAAAUAAGAAGAGAGAUUAGUCAGAUGACUCCUCCAACUAAUCAGUUAUUCUGAAAUAGACCCCGGAAAUUUAAUUUGACUUAGAUUCUUUUACUUAUUAUGUUGAUUUAAAGCAUUUUAAUUUUGUAAGUGAUUUGGUGCUAAAGAGCUAGAGAAUCCGAAACAAAAGACAUAUAUAUAAAGAAUGGCUGCUAUUCUCAUCUCAUAACAAUACUAGAAAAUCAUUGAGACGAACUUAGUAAACAUAAACAUAAACAUAGAACACUACAAGGCAAAAAAUAAAAGAAAAAAUCAGUCCAAAACUAUUAUAUUUAAUCGAAUCAGUGCAAUUUGCGAUGUAUUAUUCCUUAGAAUUAAAUGAAAUAUUUAAAUUCUAAAAGUCGAAGCACUAAUUUUAUACUUCUAUUUCUAUUAUAUUAAAAAAAUUUUAAAAUAUUUUAGAUUAUACUUUUUGGACCAAAAAGCGUAAACCUGGGCCAAAAAGGCCCAUAUCACGAUGUCCGGUUCGGUCCGGUCCAAGUCAUCAGACUACGGAACCGGUUCUAAAAGGCCAAGGCCCAAUUCAAAUAUCGGCCCAUAACUAAACCCUAACUUCCUUCUCAUUCUCCCCCGAACCCUUAAAACGCCUCCUCUAUUCGAACCCUUUCUCUCGCCGCCGUUGUUCAUCUUCUCCUUAGCUCGCCUCUCGAUUCGUCGUCCUCUUUCGCUCUCCUGCUCUCGAUUUUUCUAAGCAGGUGAGGUAGAUCUUUCGCUGAGUAUGCGACUAAUACUUGUUUAACGCUCCUUUAAUCUGAUCUCGACUUCCAUUUUCGCGGUAAUCUAUGAAUCUAAUCAGUUUUUCCCCACCUUGAUGUGGUCGAUUUUAUCUAUUUUUAGCCUUUUUUUUAUUGUUUUGUUGGAUCCUUUGGGGACGGGACGAUCUGGUCUUUUUGUUGCUCUUCACGUAGUGUCUUUUACUGUGUAUCAUGGGAAAAGGUUGGUUUUUGGUUAUUUUUUGAUGAUUUUGUAACAUUUUAUGAGAAAAUUUACGGGCUGAAGUUGAUUAAGUGAGAUGUUCAGGGGCUAAUCCCAGGUACCAAGGUAUUGCAGUAGUACCGUAUAUCCAUAAAUUUUACUGUUAUUGUAACUGUUAACAUUAUAUGAAACGGCGUAUAUAAGAAUUUCUGGGAGGUUUACUUGAUGUUUGAUGAUUAAUGUUAUCAAAAAGAGUGCGUGAACAAUCUAACGGGAGUUGUAUUUUUUAUGUAAGGAUGAAUUAGUAAAGUAACAAGAAUUACCAAACAAGCGGUGUGGAGAAACACAUAAAUAUAUUUGUUUACGAGAACAAAAAUAGAUAGAGAAUUGCUAUAAUAUUAGAUGUAUGGUUAUGAGUUUCCAUAGAUUUCAUGCUUUUUCCCGUCCUUUUGUUGAUUCUUGGUGGUAAUGCGUUCGAUCUGAGAUAUUAACACGGUUGCGGUUGUAGCUGCAAAAUACCCUGCGUUUGGUACGCUUAACUUGGCCCAUAUCAGCCUUGGUCUCUUUGAUUAUCACGGAAGUGAUCGGUCAAACAUAUGUACUUUGCAUGCUCCGGUCUCGCUUCUCCUGAUAAUAUUUUAUUUACUAUCUAAUAUUAGAAGCUCAUAUGUUUUUCUUUCUGUGGCUAGAAAUUGCUGAGGGAAGUUUUUAACUGCAGACCCAAAACUUGUCUCUUUCCAUAUCAUGCUAUGUAUAGAUAGGAUGAAUUUCUGAAAUUUUGUUUGGUCAUACUUUUUACUUAGAGCUAUGUUGUGAAGGAGAUAAACGGAUAAAACAAAAAUACUAGCUUUUUAAGGCUAAAUCUGGAUAUUAUGACAUCUUCAAAUUUCUGUUGUACCCAAUUUGUUGGGCUGUUAGCUCCAAGCAAUUUCAACUUGAGUCCACAUUGGGCAUGGACAAGCUUAACUUUGAAUUUGGGUUUUAUUUUUCAUGGAAUACAGAUAUGGAUUUUUGUCCGUAAUAUAUAUAUUAUGUGGUUUUUCGGGUGUGUGUUAAUUGACUCAAUUGGCAUCUUUCAUUUAGUUCCUCCUUACUCUUGCAGGAUUCACAAGGAUGGUGAGAGUUAGUGUUUUGAAUGAUGCUCUUAAGAGCAUGUACAACGCUGAGAAGCGUGGGAAGCGACAGGUGAUGAUUAGGCCGUCGUCAAAAGUGAUCAUCAAAUUCCUUCUUGUUAUGCAGAAGCACGGUUAGUACUCUUAUUAAUUUCUCGUCUCUAUUGAAAAUGUUGCCUAAUUUAUAUUCAUAUUGAAUUGUUUUGCAGGAUAUAUUGGCGAGUUUGAAUAUGUUGAUGAUCACAGAGCUGGUAAAAUCGUUGUUGAGUUGAAUGGGAGGUUGAACAAAUGUGGUGUUAUUAGUCCUCGCUUUGAUAUUGGUGUUAAAGAAAUCGAGCCGUGGACUGCAAGACUGCUUCCUUCACGUCAGGUCUGUUGCUUACCUGUAGCUUUGGGAAGUCCAGAGGAUUCCAUUUUUUAUAUUCUCAUUUCAGCUAUUUUACUUAAAUAUGAAUUCGACCAGAUGUAGUGUUACAUUUUGCUUAAUUAUGUGUUGUACAGUUUGGGUACAUUGUCCUGACAACUUCUGCUGGUAUCAUGGAUCAUGAAGAGGCUAGGAGAAAGAACGUUGGCGGUAAAGUACUUGGCUUUUUCUACUAGAAGGCAUUUUUGUUUGCGAGAUGGAGGCUAAUAUUGGUAUAAUUUAUGAUUAAGAAUAUGAUUUUCUGUGAGGAACUCUUUAGAGGAAUUUUGGAACUUCGAUCAAAGCUGUUCUUUUGUUUGUGUUUACUGUGAACUAUCAAAUGCAGUAGGAAAGUGUUGGUGUUUCCUUUGAAGAUUGUGUAAUCUGAAUUCUUGCUUUAUUUCAAACCUUGUUCUGCAGCGUAGAAAUUUGAGUUCAAAUUAGUUUUUAAGUUUCUGCAAAAAUCUUGAGUGAUGCUUGUGGUUGUUGAGACUAAGUAACAUGAGAAACAAAUGAUUUACGGAAACUAUUUUUUCCAUCGCCCAUCUGCAAUUGCAUUGAGGCGAUGAAAUACUCACUUGUUGCCAAAUAUUCUAAGAACCACUGCAGGGAUCCCAGAUGUGUUCCUCAAUUUUCUGCAGUGUUAAUCAGCCAUUGGGUACUAUCUAGCACAGGUAACGCAUGACGUAUGUUAUGUAUAAGCGCUUGUUUCAAGCGCAUAAGUUACAAGUAGAUAAAGAUAUAUGAAAAAGAUGUACUAUCAAAAGAUAAAUAGAAAAGUCAUAAGUUAACAAAUAAUUAGGGCUCUUUGAAUUACUGAGCAUUAUAAAAAUCUGAUCAGUGAUGAUACAACCAUCAACGGUAAACUCCAUAACAAUGUUUCAAGAUUAAAAGAAGAAAACAAGGAUUGCCAAAGAUUUCUAAGUUGCCCUAAACAGCCUCUGUUGAUCACCGCACAAUCUCCGCAAUCGAAGAUGCAGCAUCCCGCCACCGCUGCCGCCGCCGCUGCGACUCAGGCCAUUGUCGGGGGAGCCCAAAAAUAUGCUCGAACUCCGUCUUGGACUCGGAGCUUAAGAUGGAGAGGAGCUCCAUGGGAGGGAGGAGUUGGGCUUUAGUAAGAAGCUAUAUAUGAGGCUUGAUGAAAUGUUUGGUAAAGCUUUUGUAGAUAGAGAUGGAGGGGAUCUUCUCAGCAUAUACUCCAAGCACUUCCUCUUCUUUUUGCCUCUCUCUUCUCUUUCCAUUCUCCUUUUGAGCUCUCACUUUUUCUGCCUAUGGGUAAUUGGGAACCUAGCUAAGCUUCUUUGUCCUCUUACCGUUUUUCUUUUUUUUUUUUAGUUAUUUUAUGGAUGGGCAGAGCUUUAUUAUUGAAGAAUUAGAUCAUAACUUCGACAACUAUAGAUAUUGAAGUGCGUGUUUGGUAUCUAGAGGAGAAAAAAAAAUCUAGAAUGUAUCAAUUAUAUUACUGAGAUGUUAUUCUCAACCAAUAAGAUACCUUUUUUAAAUUUACCCAUCUUAUCAUGAUUGUUAGAAAAAUAUUUUUAUUAAACUUUUUUCUUAAAAAAAUAGAUGUGAUUUGAUAGUUAUUACUAAUGUGGUGUAAAUGUGACAUAGUAGAUUUUCUCUUAAAAGAGGGUUUUACAAAAGUUAUAUUGCUGAUGUAGUAUUUUUAACCAAUCAAAUUACUAUCUUAGGGGAAAAAUUUUAGAAUGCAACGGGUAUAUUAGUGACGUGGUGUAACAAACCAAUCAAAUUAAUUUUUUUAAGAAUAUGUGUCCCAUCAUGAUUGUAAAAAAGUAUUUUUAUUAUACUUUUAUUUGAAAAGAAGGAAUGUAAUUGACUUGUUAUUAAUGACGUGGUGCAAGUGUGACAGUGUAGAAUUUCUCCUCUUUAGGAGGCCAACGCACCAACAGAUCCGAGUAAGACUCUACUUGGUGGAAUGUAAUUUUAUAAAUAUAAUAUAAAUUAUAUAAUCACAUAAAUCAACGAAUGUUUUAUUAAAAUUUAAAAAGAAAAUAAUAUUUAUAAGUUUGCACUUAUGUCUCUUUCGAGCCGUUUGAUUGAAUGUAAUUAGAAUAUAAUUUAGUUAAAAAAAUAUAUGUAAGUGGAGAUGCAUCAUUAAUACAUACAUAUAUUUUGUUUGGCUGAAUAUAAUAGAAUAUAUUAUAAGUAUGAAUAAUUUAUUUGGUUUAUACAGUUGAGAAUCACAUAUGUAAAAUUUUAGUAUCUUAUGUAAUUGAUGGUAAAAUUAUCUCUAAGAUAAGUAAUUUUUGUCGAGGAACCAAAUUUGUUGUAUUAUGCAAUUUCCCAAAAUUUGGUGUGGUCACCUUUUCUGGUCACUUUUCGUGGGUCCGAAACAGUUGUUACCAGUCCAUUUCCGACGUGCCAGCUCAGCAUGAUCCCAACGAGCCCCACCAAAAGGAUUAAAGGAUCCUCUACAGUGUAACGCCAAUAUAUCACGGUUGUGCGCAUAUGCCGACGCCGCUUUGGUGCGGGCCCCACAUGUCAGCCUCACACCCUUAUAUAUAACCGUUAGACCGUAGACGGUUCCUCCUUCCUAAGAGCCUGCACCUGGUGUAUCCUUAUGCACUUAGUAAUUAAUGCUUUAAAUAAACGAAUAUUGUAAGGUUUAUUUAAAAAUAUACUAACUUUAAAAAGUUAUUAAUUAGAUAUCAAUUUACAAUAUUAGAAUCUGGGUGUUAUAAAGUGCGUAUUAUACUAAAUUAGAUUCUAAUUUUGAGCCCUCCUUAAUAAGAUUUAAGAAAUAUGGUGUAUGAACUAUAGUUAUGAACCAGGUUCAGGCACUAUUUACUCCUUGUUUCGAGAGAGGAGCAUUGAAUGAGCAAAUCGACGAGGUCGUGUUCAAAUUACAAACGAUGUCGAUCGCGUAAAAAUCAUCUCGAACUCUAAUCCCUCGAUCCAUCGCGAUUAGAUCCCUUGUUUCCUUCGAUCUAAUCGGAAUCCGGUACACCUAUUUCACCCUUUGUUUUCUCGAUUUAAUCCUCGUUUUGCGCUCUUUUUUGAUAUGUUUGUUUUGGAUUUAGGGAUUAGGGUUCUCGAUUCCCUUCGAUCGGAUCUCCUUUUGGGCGAAUUUUUUGCGGUCUUCGUCCAUGGCUGCGCCACCGGCUAGGGCUAGGGCGGAUUACGAUUACCUUAUAAAGCUUCUCCUGAUCGGUGAUAGUGGUAAGGUUUUAGUCUACGAUUGGAUCUCGUUGUUGUUGUGGCUUCGUGUUUCCAUUUCUCUGCGACUUCUAUUUGGUUUUUGUGAUGCAUCAUCGAAAUGGUUGUUGAUUUGUUCCUAUUAUUAUCAAUGUUUGAUGUGGUUGAACUGGUUGAGGAUAGAGAUCAUUGGCAGUGUGUCUUUGAGAUCUUAAGUUAUGCUUAGUUUUGAUGAUUGAAUUAGGACUUCCAUCUUCGAGGAGGUAUUUGAUCAGGCUGUGUUUAAAUCAAAUUUAGAUCUUAGAGGAUGUUGGUGUGAUGUGAUCAUUUCCGAAUGUUCACACGUACAAAAGUAAAUAAUGAAAUAUGAUGAUACUAAUGAAAACAAGCACCAUUUUGCUGCUGCAUUUCAAAAAAAAAAAAGGAAGUUAAUUUUGACCUUGUGUUUGGAUGCAGGUGGUCUACUUCUUGUAUAGUCUGCACAUGGUAGUGAUAAUUUUAUGACUGACUGUAGCAAAAUAUGAUAGAAGUUUACAUUCAAUUUUUGCAUUGUAUUGGUUACUUGAUUGGAUGGUGCGAGCCAUUCUAAAGGACUUGAAUCAUGGAUAUAGAUCUUACCUCUCUUAAUUUUUGCUCGGCUGGUUACUUAGAAAUUCACUAGCUUGUGAUAUCUCGAUUCCUUUAUAUAUAAUCUAUGCAUAAUUUUGAUCAGCAAUAUUUUGAACUGUGGAAGGUUGGACUAUACUUGUUAUAGCAGAGUAGGAAGGAUUGCUGUUUUGUUCAAUCGAUUUUGAAAUCUUGCUCAAUAAGUAGUCAUGGUUCACAAAAAUUAUCAUUGAUCGCUAAUGAUAUUUCUUCCAUGAUUGUCUUCUUUGAUGGCUAACAAAUACUGUAUAUUUACUAUUUGUUGAGUGAUAUUCAGUGUAAAACCAUCCAAACUGGUCAGAUUAGUUGGGAAUUUAUCUAUGCUUUAACACAAUUUAAAAUAUUUGACAUGGAACUUUUGGCCCUGUAGGUGUUGGUAAGAGUUGCCUCCUUUUGCGAUUCUCGGAUGGCUCCUUCACCACCAGCUUCAUUACUACAAUUGGGUAACUUCUGUUUCUGUUAUGGAGACCAGUAUCCAUUUGUUGAGCUUGUCUACUUUUUUCAAUUUCCCUUCUUUUCUGUAUUAUUAAAUGAUCAGAAUUCUUGUUGGUUUACUCACAUGGGUGACCUCUCCACAGAAUUGACUUUAAGAUAAGAACAAUUGAGCUGGAUGGUAAGCGGAUCAAACUGCAGAUUUGGGACACAGCUGGUCAGGAGCGCUUUCGGACUAUUACAACUGGUAGGCUGGUUACUUUCUUCUAUGUUGACUAAUUGGCAAGCAUAAAUGGAUCCAUCAAAUAAAAUUUUCUGACUAAUUUAAAUAAUCAACACAGCAUAUUACCGAGGGGCCAUGGGUAUUUUGCUGGUUUAUGAUGUCACCGACGAGUCAUCAUUUAACAGUACCUUCUUACUGAUUCUCUUGAUAAUUUAAAACUUGGACCUAUUCCUGUUGCUUAUCCUUAUUCUGGUUCCUGCAUUGUCUAGACAUAAGAAACUGGAUCAGGAACAUUGAACAACAUGCUUCUGAUAAUGUGAACAAGAUUUUGGUGGGCAACAAGGCUGACAUGGAUGAAAGCAAAAGGGUAUGCCUUACUGGACUUGCAUUUUUGUUGACAUGUUGCUCCUGAAUAUUUAAUUGCUGGGUAAAUUGAAGGAGAGGUCUUCAACCUUUACCUUUUAGUUAUAUUUUGGUUUAGUCCCCGACCUUUCAAUUGUUGUAACUGGCUCCCCUGCAUUCUGUUGUAAGUUUACCAUUUCUAUUCCAUUUAAUUGGAUGGAAAUGUCAAUGCCAGUGCCAAGCAACUGCUACAUUAGCAAUUGUCAAACUUUCUCAUGUGCAUGUUGGGGUCAGUUUUACUUAGAAGGUGGCUUACGUGCUGCUCAUGUGGACUUGUACAUCCCUACCAUUUGGAAUUAAUGAGAAGGGUUGGACUACAACGAAAUGCCAAGGGGAGAGACCUAAUUGUAGCAAUUGACAGGUUGCUGAUUAAUUUAGAACUUCAAAAAAGGUUUGGAACUCGCGGUGCGAUUUACCCUUUAAUUUCUUAUGGCCCCACCAGUUUUUGGACUCUCUCAAUUCCUUAUUUUAAGUUUAAAUUUCUUUGAUAUAGGCUGUUCCUACUGCAAAGGGGCAAGCACUUGCCGAUGAAUAUGGCAUUAAGUUCUUUGAAACUGUGAGUUAUACAUUGUUAGAAUCCCCCACUUCUGUUAAGACCUUCUGAAGAAUCUUACCUGCUAUUCUGAAUGUAUGUCUCAUCUACUGCAGAGUGCAAAAACAAACUUAAAUGUGGAGCAGGUAUUUUUUUCAAUCGCUAGAGAUAUCAAGCAGAGACUUGCUGAGACUGAUUCAAAACCUGAGGUAGAAAUCGUUUUCUGGGCUGAUAUGCAGGGGAAUACCCUAUUAUUGCUAUUCGUACAUUUGCAUGCUGAAAUUUAAAACCGACGUUUUUCUUUAUAAGUGACGGAUUUUGCCUCAGGAGCACAAACAAAGGAAGCAUAGUGAUGAAAUAUCUCAUUUGAAAGCAUAGGUUUCACAAGGCGAAUGUGCGAAAAUAGAUUUUUAUAUGGGAUUCCUGCAGUCUAGUCUUUUAUUAAAUGAUAAAUUCAGAAAAAUUGACUAGCAUUUGCCUGAUUGCAGUUUGACCCGCAAACUUUAAUUUGUUUAGAGAAACCACUAACUUGUUUCCCGUUGCAAUUUUACCAACUUAGGUUGAUUUGGUGCAAAGGGUCUGCUUUUAUCUAAGUUUUGUAUGUUUGCUCUGGCGCAAAAAGCUAAAUUUAGCUCACACAAUAUGGUUUGGUACAAAAAGAUUACCACGGCAUAAUUUAGUUGGUGAAUCUUUUGGAACCAAAUCAAAACUACAUUUUGGGUACUAACUUAUUUUUUUAACUCGCACCAAAUUAAGGUUAGCGGGUCAAAGUUCAAUUAUGAAAAGAUAGUGGGUCUUUAUGACUUCAACCCCUUUAGGGUGGAAAAGUUACCCACUCUCUAGUGGGUGGAUCUCAAAAACUUAUUGCGCUUACAGGAUCGGACGAUUAAGAUUAACAAACCGGACCAGGCCGCUGCUGAGAGUGCUGCAGCUUCGAGGUCAUCUUGCUGCGGUACUUCCUGAUGAUGAAUGCUCUUUGACUUUAUUUGGAUCUAAUUUGUUUUUUAUAGGAGGAUAUUUGUGCGAAGAUAAUUUGAUGAUACGGUGAUGCUUUGUAUUGUUGUCAUUUCAUUCUUUGCAACAACUUCUCUUUGUUUGUAAUGUAUUUCCGGAAUUCUUCGACUCGAAAGCCUUUGAUUUUGGGAUUUGGUUGGCCAAGCUUUUCAUCUCCAUUCUGUGGUGUUAACUUUUGGUCUUUUGCAGUUCAAUUCCAUUUCAUGUUGAUUGUAUGAAUGAAUAAAUACAUCAAGUUUCGCCAGUGCUGAAUUGUAUUGGUAGUCCUCGAACUUGUUGAAUUGUAAUUUGGUCCGUAACCUUUUCCGCAGAAUUUUAUGGGUUAGGGUGAAUUGUAAUUUGGUCCCUGACCUUUUGCUGAAUUUUUUGGUUUAGGGUCGCCAAACCCAUUUUCCAUCCAACUUGUCAGGAGCUUUGAAUAUAAAAAGAAUAAAUGACAAUUUUUCUUGGCCCCCAUAUUACGUCAGGGAUCAAUCAGAGAGUUCAAUUUAAGGUGGGGAUGGUAUUGUAAGAAAUUAGGCAAGUUCGUGAGCGAAUUGUUUAGGUAAAACAGUAUGGUAUGAACUGGAAAACGUCAAAAGUUCGGGGACCUACCACACAUUUUGGGCAACUUCUGCGGGCUAAAUCUCCACGAUCUAGUUCAGAAGGUAUCCAUGUGUUUAUACCUUCAAAAAAAACGUUAGCAAGUUCAUGCUGUUCUCUAGUAACAUUUUAGCACAAUUGUAAGAUGUUAUAAAGAGAGAUUAAAAGUUCGCUGUUGGUUGUGAGAUGAUCGAGCAAAAUUCUUCUAGUAGGUAAAUUAAACCUUUUUUUUUUUUUCUUGUUUUGGGACUUAUUUGUAGACCCUUCCUAGUAGAAGACUUCUUCUAAAACUUGAUAAUGUAUAUAAACUCAAGAAGCCAGAGGCUACGAAUUCCUUUUUUAAAAAAAAGCAGUAACUGAACCUGAGAUCUCAAAGAAAGUUUUCAAAAUAACAAUCAACUAUUCUAUGUAGAAACUGACCGUUCCUAGCGUAAGUGGCGAAGGAUUUGAUGGUUGAUAUCUGAGAUCCCAUCUAAAUAAAUUAUUUCUAAAAGAAAUAAGAAUAACAUGUUACAUUUCUCUCUCAAAAAAAAAACAAAAUUCUAUAUAGAAUAAUGAUCAACUAUUGUAAGUAGUUGUCACGAAGUUAGACUAUGUUAGGCACCACAAAAUUUUUUUGAGAGAAAGAUAGCACUAUCGAUUUUAUUUAUUUUUUUAGAAAAAAACUCAGUUAUAAAUGUGAAACAAUUAGAUUUCGAAAUUGAGAUCUGAAAUGCUAAUCAUCAAGAAUUGCGCUAGGUAUGGUCGGUACAGUGCAAAAAUCAACCUUCCGUGACAAAUUUUACUUUGGAAUGUUAAUGUAACGCUAGUUAGGAUGAGAUAAAGAGGAAUCGGCACGUACAUUUAAUUUAGAUCAUCCUUCUUACACAGUUUAACCUCUCUCUCUCUGUAAUUUAUCUUCUUUGGUGUCUCUCUCUAUCUUAGUAUUCAGAACCAUUUGUAAUCAGGAGUUUACUAGAUAAUAACUUAACACACUAUGCCAUGAAAUGCAAAAAAUGAACCAUCAAUUAACAAUUAUGUACAUCAAGAAAGCCAAAUAAAUACAAACACUUCCCCCUGAAAGAUACGACUCUCACUCCUAAUUAUCCACGACCACUAAAACAGGACCAAAAUUAUAAAACACCAAAAUAAUAAACUAUCCAAAAAACAAGAAGAAGAAGAAAGAAACUAUGUGACAUAUAUGAUGAACUAUGAAUGGAUUAAAAUUAAAAGGUGCAAUCCACCACCAUAGGAAACUUAUGCACGCUCCCCAGUGCGAGCCCAACAAUACUAGUAGUGUUCCGGCACUUCAAUUCGUUCUCCGACGGGGUCAAGUUCAAGUCCAACCACAGCAUCCUCCUCCCCCUCCUCUCCUCCCCCUUGUUUUCGCCCGCCGCGGCCGCAGCGGCGCCGCUUUCGUGCCCCAACGCCUCCCCACCGACGGCCGCGGCGGCGACUCGGUGGCGCCGCAUGUGUCCGCCGAGCGCCUGCCCCACCGCGAACUCGAGCCCGCAUAUCGCGCACUCGUGGGCCCUCGGCUUCGCCUUCAUCUCUGUAUGCCCAUGACUAUUAUUAUUGUUGUUAUUGUCGGCGCCCGCCAGCCGCGGUCGUUUGUGGCUUGCGCGGUGGCCGCCGAGCGCCUGAAAGGACGGGAACUGGCGGUUGCACGUCUUGCACUCGAACACGCGGGCCGGCGACGACCGGCCCCCGGAAAACCGGCUAUAUUCGAUCUCCUCACCGCCGCCACCGACACCGCCGCCGCCUUCGCGGGAGAGGAGCAUCAAUAUCUGUGCCAUGUUGGUGGUGCCUUCCAACUCCACUGCUUCCUCUCCAAAUUGUAACCUCUUCAUGCCUCAACAAAAAUACAGCAGUUAUACGUACAAUUAAAAGUCGCUCAACUGGAAUGUGGUGAAUAAUAAACAAGUUGAACUUUAUAUGAUGUGUUACGCUUAUUAGUAACGCAUAUAUUUAUAGGGAAGAGACUAGAGAGAGAGAGAGAGAGAGAGAGAGAGAGAGUUAAUAAUGUGUCAAGUGGACACCAUAACCUGUUGGCACGUAAGCAAUUAGCUUUUUGUGACGAUGAGGAUAUAUAUGCAACAUUUUUUGGAGUUCCUUUUCUUCUAGAUUUGCGACUUUUUUGUUGUUGUUGUUGUUGUUCCUUCUCAGCAUAUUUUGUGCUGAGUCGUAGAGUUUGAAAAGGGAAAAUAAAAUCGAGUCAACACAGGGUUGUUGCAGCUGUUUUUUUAUUACUCUACUAUUUAGGCAUUAACUCAGUAGGAAACUAGGACUUAGGACUAAGUUAGUACAAGGGAACUUAAACGUGUGGGUUCCGUAGUCUUUGUUUUACUACACGUGAAUUGUUUUCGAGCUCAUCAUCAUUUUUUCCACCUAGAAUUAUAAGUAAAAAAUUUUAUUUUAUUUUAUCUCAUUUUGAGAGAAAAAUAAUAUGCAUGUUACCUGUUUCGUAUAUUUUUUUUAGAAAUAAAUUUAAUUAAAAAUGUGAAUCAAAUAGGAUUCAAAUUUGAUACCUCGGGUACCAACCAUCAAGUACUUUACCACUUGCGCUAGAAGUGAUCAAUAUAUAAAUUUUAUUAGCUAGGAAUAAGACAGAAUGAAUAAUUAACUAUUGUCUAUUGAAGAGUAAUCCGUUGUUAUUUAAGGCGUUAUUAAUGUCGCCCAAAAUAUCAAUUGUGAAAAUUUAACCCGUUAAAAGUUGACGCAUAUACUAGACUUAAUUAGCUAUGAUAUCGAGCCAUUUAAAAUAUCUCUUUUCUUUUUCUUUUUUUUUUUUUUGAGAGAGAUAGGUAGCACGCUAUCCGUUUCGUUUAUUUCAUUUAGAAAUAAACUUAGCUGAAAAUGUGAAUCAAUUAGGAUUUGAACUUGGAUCUCGGAUAUCAACCGCCAAGCCCUUUGCCACUUGCUCUAGGGACGGUCGGUGUGACAUUUAAAAUAUCAAUAUGCAAAACUUCUCAAAUGGCCACCAAUAAUAUUAUUUUUUUUAAAAAAAAUUGGUCUUCUUUGCUUUUCUAAUUUUAUAAAGGCAAAAUUUUGUUACUUUGGGCGCUUGUUGAAUCAGGUGGCAAUCAUGGGCAAAUUUCAAGUAAAUUUGGUCGAUAUUUUGGCCUUAUCUGUUCACAUUUUAUGUAAAACACAUAUGAUUAUAAGUUUGUGCUUCUGAUAAUACCUACCGCGAAUCGGAAUAACGCUUUAUAAGUGUGAUCAAGAUGCCUACAUGUAUAUUCUCAAAAUAAAUAAAUAAAUAAAUAAAUAAACAAUGAUGCUUGAUACACAUACAUUGACAAAUGCCACUGAAACUUACGACUCAAAAGUGAUGGGGUCUAAUCUUGUUGCGACACGUAUGAGGCUUAGGUGCAGCCACAGUAGCAGAGAAUUAAAUGCACUCGUUUGGUUGCGAAACAGCAAUAAUUAAUAAGUGUAUCCAUCUCACACAAAUACCUGUACGAAAAAAUACUUUCUUUACACUCUAGCAGUUCGGAUAUAAAUCAUACAGUUCAUGAUAUUAACAUUUUAAAAUCUCUUUAAAUAUAUAGUAUUAAAAAAAUUAACAAGGCGCGAAAGUAAAUAUUAAUCUUCGAGAGGCUAAAAUAUAAAUUUUACGCUUAUAAUUAAAUUAGGUGUACAGAUAACAUUACUCAAUGUAUGUAUGUAUGUAAUAGAUGACGUCAAUUAAUCCGCUAGAGUACAAAAUUUCAAUGGUACUCCCUCCUGAAACAUUACACGCUGCAGCUACAGGAGACACAUCAGAUAAUGAAUUGAGGGUAACAUAUAAGCUGCCUCCAAGUGUAAGGACCUUGUUUUUGUUGACAACUACAUUGCUAGCAUAUUCUGGCUCCAGGCUUUGUGGAGCCACACUUUGUUGAGUGUGCAUUUGGCUACCUUCUUGUUUAGUUCUAUUGGAUAGUUGAGAGUCUCUUUGGCUUGCGUUAUGGAUCACAUCGUUCAAUUCUGCGGUUGAGAGAAGCACUGAUAUUUAGAAACCAAAAAAUUGGUAGCGAAAUAACUUAUCUCUGCAGCGGUUAAUUGUACUGAAAGAAAAGGCUGGGCCAAACAAGAACUUAUGGCGUGUUUUGUUCGCCAUUUUUCACUUAAGAAUCGAAAUCGAAAUGGAUGAAUUUAUUUGUGGGUAUUCGAUAUGCGGGAGUUCUAUAACAAUUUCGAUUUCCAGGUGAAUGAGAAUCCUUCAAUUUCUGAUUUUCAUUCCGAUUCUUUUUUUCAUUUUGAACCAAACACGCCCUUAGUAUAAUGAUAAAGUUUUUGAGGUCAUAACAUACUAUUUUCAAUUCAAGUUCUAAGAGUAGUCACAUAAAUUCAUCAAAAAAAAAAGAAAAGAAAAGGAAAGCUAAAGAUAGAAGUGAUGAGGUAUGUUAUUAAUGGCAGAUCAAGUGCAUUGAAUAUGGUCAAUAUUUUCCUUCCCUGAGAUUGCUUUUAUUCUUUGAUGGCUCCGCAAGAGAACAUUGACAUGCACUUGUAAAGAAGGAAUUGUUAACAGUGAACAAGGAAGGUUUAUUGAAUAUAAUUAGCGCGCACAUGACAGAACCGAUCAAUUUUAGUCCUUUUACUUUGUUAAUAAUAAUUUCCUGUUAUGUGCAAAACUUAGCCCACGCACAAGAGUGAAAUGCCAUUUUCAAAUUUAAUAAAGAUCGGCUAUUAUUGGUUCCAAACAAAAAUCAAUGAAAUAGACUAUUAGCUAGAGAAGUGGUCUUAAAUACUGCAACAUAUUCAUCCUAACUAAGCAACCACACCAAGUCACAUUCACACAAUGGAUGUAGCAACAUUUUCCAUCAACGACAAUAUAUUUUCCAAAUUUAUAAGCUCUUAAUUGGAUAAUUGUUAAGAAUAUUAUUAACAUCAUUAUCAAGAAUGGUACCACUUGGCUUUUAAUUUUCUCUAAAACCUGAAGUGGAAAUGUCAACCCAAUUUUCUAAGAAGCCACAUUCUUGUGGAGUUGUUAUUUCUACUUAUUCAGAUAUUCUAGAGAGAGAGAGAGAGAGAGAGAGAGAGAGAGAGAGAGAGAGAGAGAGAGAAAUUAAUGUCCACUACACACGUUUUAGACACUUGGUUGGUUCAUGUUUCUUUAAAAAACACACACUUGGUUGGUUCACAUCUAUUCUUUAAUUAAUAGAGUCACAAGUUCUAGUAGGUUUCUUUGUACAAUUCUCCUAGCUUGCACACCUUUUUUGAAUUUGAAAUUAUUGUUCAGGUGGGUUGCUAAAUUGAAUAUAUCUAAUUAAGUUCCAUCAAUUAUGCUGCACAAGUGUUGAAUAAAGAAUAAUAAGUGUAGACUAAUUAAGAUCAGUAGAUGAUGGUUUAAUUAAAAUAAAUAAAACUCCACAUGAGUUGACAUUUUGAGUAAUAAUAACAUAUUGCAUUUAUGCAGUUCUCAUCCACUGUAGAAUUAGUAAGAAGUUGCUUAAUUAACAUGAUUUUCAAUAAUUGAAUAUUUAAUUAUAAAAUAUUUAUAUUAAAUACAAAUCGCUGACAAUUUAAAUUUUUAGAAAAAAAUAAUAUUUUUAUAAAAAUCCAAUUGCGCCUCUAGUUUCAAAUGUUUGAAGUCCAGUAUAAUUUAAAGAAAAAUAAUUGUUUCACGCAAUUAAUCUAAUUUUUAUUUUACCGCUAAUUAAUGUAUUUGCACCAUUGAUCAUGACCAUUUCAUUUCUUUAAGCUCAAGCACACUCUAGUUACUUUCUAGAGGAGUUUAUAUAUGCCUUUGAUUUUUGUUUGCAGCAUAAAAUAUUUCCCACUAAUUUUUGACUUUGGACAAUGAUAAAUAUAAAUUAAGGAAGAUCUGCUAAGUCAACCCUAGCCAAUCAAUGAGUAAAUUAAGCAAAAUGUGCUGUACUGUAUAUGGAAAGUGCUAAGCUUCCAUAGCUUCUAUUAAAAAAAAUUAAAAAAAGAAAAAAUAAAUAAAUUAGCAUAUAACACUUUAAUUAAUUAUGAAGCUCUUAAAGGUGCGUUUGGUUCAAGUUAUCCUGGUAGAAUUACAAGCAAUCCUGUCAGGAUUACCGUGUUUGGUUCAUCCGCUCUGUAAUCUAGUCGGUAAUAUAGCAUUACAAAUCGAGCAGGAUUACACCAAAAAUAUUAACAAGAGAGGGGUCGUGUAUGUUGUAUUACUGAAAACCGGUAAUACUAUAUAUUAUAUAAAAUGACAAUUUUACCCUCUAACUCUCGAAACUCUUUCAAUAUGUUAUUUUAAAAAAAUUAAUUUAAAAUUUUGAAUUCUCAACUUUUAAUUUUUAAUUUUUAAUUUUUAAUUUUAAAUUUUUAAAUUUUUAAAUUUUAAUUUUUAAACUUCAAAUUUAAAUUUUAAAUUUUAAAUUAAAAUUAAAAUUUUAGAUUUUAAAUUAUAGGUUUUAAAUUUUAAAUUUUAAAUUUCAAAGUUCUCAGAUUUUAAAUUUCAAAUCUCAAAUCUCAAAUCUCAAAUUUUAAAUUUUAAAAUACAAAUUUGUAUUUUAAAUUCUGAAUUUUAAAUUUAGAUUUUAAUUUUUUAUUUUAUAUAUAUUUAUAUUUAUAUUUUAGAUUUUAAAUUUAGAAAUUUCAUAUUUAUAUUUUAAAUUAAAAUAUUAAAUUUAUAUUUUUGUUUAAAAUUUAAAUUUUAAAAUUUUAAAAAUUAAAUUAUUUUAAAAAAAAUUUGGUAAAAAAUUAUUGUUUGUAAACAGUAAAAAAAAGUUUACAAAAUAUAACUAAGAGCAAUUUUGAAAUAGACUAUAGUUUAUUGUUUAGAUUACUAAAUUUUAUAGGCAGAACCAAAUAUAAUAAUGCUUUAAACAUUGCAAUCCGGUAUUAUAUUACUGUAUUAAAUCAAACGCGCUAAUGCAGCAUCAGUAGUAAUCUCAUUUAGAAAUUCAAAAUAUCUGGAUAUAUCGAAAUACUCUGUAAUAUGACAUAACUCGAACCAAUCAGACCCUAAGUAAUAUUGUACAUAACGUCAGGGGUGACAUCACUAAUACCGUUUAUGCUAUCAUAAUCAGCGGCUAGUAUAGUGGUUGACAUGACAUUUUUUGAAAAAAAAAUUAUUUUUAUUAAGGAUAAAGUUGUUAAAUAAUACGAAACGCUGCACUUUAAAAUUUUAAAUUUAUAAAGAACGAUGUUUAAAUAUUUUCAUAUUUAAGACUUUCUCUCAUGUCUAGGCUGGAGAGAGCCUAGUGUGACUCGAACUUAGAACUUUUUACUUUAAUGCCAUAUUAAAUAAUACGAAAUAAACGUUAUAUUCUAAAAAUUUAAAUUAAUAAAAAAUAAUGUUUAAAUAUUUUUAUAUUUAACAAAAAUAGCAUGCUAUUCAGUACAUUCACGAAGAAAAUAAAUUAGGCUACAAGAGUGACGUAGCGAGGCCUCAAAGAGAAAUGCGGACCAAAAAAUAAAAUAAAAUAAAGAUGGUUAGUCUUUUAUAGACUUCUUAGAUUCCGUACAUCGAGCAAAAACCAUCUCAAGUCUCCGAUUUCGGAUCCGAAGGAUCCUCUUAUUUCAUUCCAACCACAAGGUUUGCCAUGUGGUCGCAACAGUUGUUAAUUCCUUCAUUGUUACCCUUUUUUUAGUGCUGUACACUUUCCAAAAACUAACAAUUGACGAGCACUAAUAAAGCUUGCGUUUAUUUGGCAUCCGGUAUUCUUUCAAACCCUUAAAGCACGCAUAGCCCACAAACAGAUGAUCCACUGUCUCUAGCUCGCGAAGCACAUCACAAAUUCUUUUUUUUCCUGGCCAACCUCUUUUUUGUAAGUUGUCUACUGUAAGCAUCUUCUUCCUCGAAACUAACUGAGCGAAAAUCUUAAUUUUCAGUAGGAUGUGCAGCGUCCAGACACUUGUGGCUUCAAAUUCCUAAUGUCACCGUCACGAAGCAAGUUAUACAUCGAUUUUACUCUAAACCCUAAAAUAUUAAACUUAUUAUUGUAACAAAAGCUACAGGAAACUUUUUAGGACUGAAAAAUAAAGCCCUAUAAUUAAUGAAGCUUCUGCUUCUGAAAGAAGCUGUUAAGGAAACUUAAUUUACAGAGACACCUGGUGAGAAAAUCAAAACAAAGGCUUUUUCUUGCACACAAGUAUUUACUCAUCUCACUUGCUUAACGGCCAAGAGCGCUUAGCUUAGUUAUUAUCCUUCUAGCUGUUUCUCUGACAUCAUAUGAAAGAGACCGCAGUGGAGAAGAAAAGUUCUGAAACAAAAUUAAUAAAAAUUCGCUCUCAUCUUCUGUGGAUCACUCGAUCAAACUUAUAUGAACGACACAUUAAUAAAAUAAUUUUAAAAUUAAUUUAGAGCUCGUCUGAUUCAUCUAUUGUAGACUCUAAAAUCAAAAUAAAAUUUAUUGAUUUUUAUAAUUAUUAUUUGGUUUCUAAAGUAAAAAUUAACCAAUUCGAUUUUAAAUCCUGAAUUGACUCAUUACAAAAAUAAAUCACUCAAUAUUCUCUAUUGCAAACACAUCUUUCGGCUCUCUUUUGAUCACUUUUUUUUUUUUUUUUUUUCCUUAAGUAUAUUCAUCUCUCAAAAUUCUAAAUAUUCCAAUCGUUUAUUCCGAUUUCCAUUGUGAUAAUAAAUCAAUCAAUUAUGAAUGAUUUGUCAUAUUUCAUUUUCAGUCCAAUGCUAUCAAAUUUCCAUUUUCAUUCUUUAUUUCAAACAUAAAUCAAACAUCAUGGUUUUAAAAAGCUCAAAUCUAGAGACUUUAAUUAUAAAUGGAAAUCGCUAAGGCCCUAUUAGGCAUUGUGACCCAUCUAGCACUAAUACAGAUAUGCCCUUUCAUUUUUUGCUAGCUAGAAUCCGACUAAUUAUGAUAUAUGGGACCAUAUUACAUGCGAAAAUAAAUAAAAUAUUUUUUUUAUCGUACUUUCUCACUGCAUAUCACCCAAUCUUUCUACAUUAAUCUCAAAUAAAGUUUAAGACUAAUCUACAAUAUCUAAAUAAUGUAAAUUAGAAUAAUUUAUUCAAUUAAUUCGAUAAUUUGAAUUGAUACAGUACUAAUUGAAUGAAGAGCAUCGAAUUAUUUUCUCCAGUAACUUCUAGUUAGAAGCUGAUCUUCUCUAGAAGAACUCUUGCAUGCAUUAAUUAUGAAAAAACUCGCAAACACGACUAAAUUGUUUUCCAAGCUAGGAAGGAUCUGCAAUGGAAAUCAGUUGCUAAGACUAGUCUCCGUAUUAAACAACUGCAGCUACCUUAAAUUUCUACCGAAGCUUCACGCGAUCCCCGCUGAGUCCUAAUUUCCUCGAAUCUAGUUCUCACGAGACCGAUACAGAACCCUUUUAGGCGCUCCAGAAUUAGAUUAGGCAGGAUAAAUAAAAUAAAAAAUGACGAAGGAUUCGAAUAAAAAUUCAGAAAAUAAAAAUACU
This 49631-nucleotide long non-coding RNA is filed under the name Ananas comosus (pineapple). RNAcentral describes it as "long non-coding RNA (ACOM_LNC032119)". The stretch from base 26710 to 26783 matches the Rfam family "tRNA". The record is from RNAcentral. Lineage: Eukaryota; Viridiplantae; Streptophyta; Magnoliopsida; Poales; Bromeliaceae.